GUGUUAAGGUUUCAAAGAAAAAUUUUCAAAGAGGUUUCAAAAACCCUAAGACCGCACUUUAUCAAUAUUUGCCCCAGUAUGAGGGUAUUAAGACCGAAAAAAUUGCCCCAGUUUGGCUUUUGACUUCUUUUUUUCUUUUUCUCUCUUUUUUUUUCAUGACAAAUAGGAGAUAAAAAUUUACCCCAGUAUGGGGUUUGCAAUCUUUAGGAGAGCUAUCAAAUGAAGGGUUAAAUUAUUCUGCAGGUUCAAUGGGGAAAACUAGGGGUAAGAUGUUCAAAGAGAAAAGAAGAAGGCUUGCCUUUGAUCCGCCAUAGAUGGUAUUUCAAAAAGAAAAAUCACAUAAUCAGAGAAAGAAUUUAUUACACAUGUCUGAAUUGAUUGGCAGAGGAAAGACCUGUCCAUCCAGUUCUGUAAGAAUGGACGUUCCUACGGAUAGCACUCUUUGAACAAUAUAUGGCCAUUGCCAAGUUGGAGCAAACUUUUCUUUAACCUCUUCUUGAAUCGGAAGAAUUUACUUCAAAACCAUAUCCCUCACUUCAAAUAAGCGAGAUUUGUCUUUCUUGUCAUAACUAACGAACCAUCCUUUGAUGAUAGCAUUGUCCAUGACAAACAUUCAACUUCUUUUUCCUCAAUCAGAGACAGCAACUCAUUGUGCUCCUUAAUCCAUUUGAUUUCUUCUGCCUGAGCCUUUGUCAAAAUGUGCAAGGACGGGAUCUCGGUUUUGGCAUGUAUUACCACUUCCAUUUCAGCAUAAGAGGGCAAGGUGUUGCCCCAACUUAGAAAUGUAAUCUCCAAUGGAAUGCUCCCAGAGUUCAAUUGCAAAAUUUGCAAAAUCGAAGGAAGAACUCUCUUUUUUUUUCAACCCCCUUUUUUCUUUUCUCUCUUUUUUCUUCUUCUUUUUUUUUCUCCUUUUUUUUAUUCUCUUCUUUUUUUUUAUUCCCUUCUUUUCUUUUCUCUUCUUUUUUCAUUCCCCCUUUCUUUUCUUUUCUCUUUUAUUUUAUUCCCCCCUCGUUUUCUCUCUUUUUUUUUUCUUUUCGCUUUUCAUUCCCCCUUUUUCUUUUCUCUUUUUUUUUUCAAGUUGGCUGCUAAAAUAUGUACUCCUUUUGAGCAAAUAGCCGAUCCUCCACUUUACAAUGUAGCAUUAUUACUCCAUUUUUAUUCGUGAUUAAUCUCCAAAUUUGCAAGUUUUGAAUUGCACCUUUUCUUCGAUCUCAACCAAAAACACCUGCAUAAGGGGAAUUUUUCAAAAUGCUUGAAUUUUUCAAUUUUUUUUGUUUUUAUUUUUUUGAGCAAUGAUGUAACAAUUAAGAUUCAUGCAAAGUAUUGACUUACCAAGAUUUUAAAAAAUAUAUACUUGAUCUUGGACAUACCCUACAAAUGUAUUAUAAAAUUUUGCCUCAAUUUGAACUUAUUUGGUGAAAUCUCACAGGUAUUACAAAAAAAUUUGCCCGGAUUUGGGCUUAUUUUAGUUGCAAAAUAAUCACAUACAAUGUGAAUAGAAACUACAUUUUUCAAAUAAAGAAUUUAAAUAUCGUAUCCAAACUCAUGUAGAAGAUUCCAUGAUAAAUCCCUCAAAAUAAGACCAAAUUGAAAAAGAUCUCUUCCUUGUUUUGGGAUUGGUGUUGAGGGAAAAGGAUCACUUUUCUUAUGAGCUCAUCUUUUAGGACCAAUCAAAUAGAUAUUAUUCAGGAUUUUGAGAUGGCUCAGGGGAAUGGUAUGUCAGGAUCUGUCCUUUUUUUUUUUGUGCCCAAAUUGUAUCCAACACAUUCAAUAUCACAUCUUAGUGAAAGCAAAUAGCUUAUCACUCUUAUUUUUUUGAGAGAACUCAGUCAACAUAUAAGCUGUAUAGGCUUGUAAUAUAUGGGUAGAAACGAUAGCUAAACAUAUGAAAACAGGUUAUGACCUUAUGAUCAUGAGUGAUUGGUAGAUUCCUUAAAGACAAUAUUUUUCACUUCAAAUUGUCAUGAAAGAUAAGUCAGCAAUGGACUUUAUGAACUUAUAAUGUAGUUCAACAACGAUAGCUAAAAAAAAAAACUUUCAAGGACAAUGCACUUAAAAUCGCAUUUCUUCCCAAAAAUUGCCCCAAUUUCGGAUUUGAAAUCCGGAACCCCAUUUUGACUCUCUCUUUCUUAUCAAUCCUCUUUUUUUCUUCAACAAUCACUAAGGGGAAUGCAGCAUUGGAUGUCUUUGCAUUUUCUUUCUUUCUUUUUUUUUCUUUCAUCAUUUUUUCAUUUUUUCACAUUUUUCUUUUCUUUUCUCUCUUUUUCUUUUCUUUUUUAAUUAAUUAAUUAAUUUUUUUUUUACCAAUAAUGAUAUCCCUAUGCCAAUGAUAAAAUUGAACACUCCCUAAUUUGGAGUGUAGAUGGCCCCUCUUUCUUUUUGAUAAUGAAGACCAAAUAUCAAUGUUAGAGUCAAAUUCCCCCAACUUGUAGCAUUUUCUCCCUUCUUCUUUUUUUUUUCUUUUUGAAAUCUCCUUCCCCAGUGUGGAGGUGCAAUCAUAAGUGCUUUUGAAACGAACCACCAAUUUAGGCUCAAAUGAGGAUGCAAAGGAUAAGAGUGUUUAGAUGGUAGAAACGAUGGCCAAAGCAUCAUUCUUAUUUCUCAUGACAACCAAAGUAAAGAAUAACCCGUUGGAAAAACCCAUUUCCAUUUGACAUUCGAAAAUUUUUCCGUGGAGGGUCAUGAUCAUUGAGGGUUUUAUUUGAAACGAAACUCUAUUUUUUGAAGUCUCAAAUGGGGAAAUAAAUGAUAGAAUCUGUAUAGAUAGAGAGACGAAAGUCUAAAGUAUCAUUCCAAAUUUUCAAAAUAAAAUAAGAAUUAACGUACAUUUUUGCUUUCACUUAGAUGUGGAUUGAAUCUGGUUAGACACACCGAACAUUUUCACGGAAAAAAUUAUCUCACUUUGAAACUAGUCAGCCAAUGCGACUGAUCUUGGAGGUUCAAUAAAAGUGGACAAAAAAAUGAAAAUGAAAAGUGUUGGGGUUGAUCUUUUAUGACAAGCUAUCAAAUUUGAAUGACCCCUUUUAUUUCCGACUAUCCUCAUUGAAUAGUUUAGGCCACAAAUCUAGUGUAUGCAAAGAAUUUUGGGAAUUUGACAUGCACUCAUGAAUUUCGAACAAGAAGUCGAAAAAUUUCAAUUUAGCCUUAUUCCUUAAAAUCUAUCAUGAAAUCUCUUAAUGAGCAAAUAAAGAAUGAAUAUAUACAAAACAAUAAUUGUCUAAAUAAAAACUUUAUUAUUCAAAUGUUUGGAAAUUUCUCAAAUGUAAUACAUGUGAGAAAAAUAAAAAUCUCUAAAGAAUACACUUUCAAAUAUAUACACACUUUCUCUUUCUAUCUUUUGAGACAAAAUGGAUUAGAAACAAUGAAUCAAGAGAUUUUUGAGAUGCUUUACACUAGCAUUUUCAAAUGGAUUUUUCAUUCUUCUUUUUUUUUCAUUCAUUUUUUUUUUCACAUUGUAGGAUCUGCCCAAGAAUCAAGUAACAUUUGUAAUUUUUCCAAAAUUUAUUAGACCCAAAAAUAUUAUCAGAUAUAGGAAAAAUAUUUUUUUUUUUUACCUUGUUAAAACAACUUUUAUAAAUGCAGGGGAGGGGGAAAAAAUAAAAGCAAAAUACCCAGAGUUAGUAAGCAAAACUGCAAAAUCGGUAUGCAUGUCCUAUGGGUGAGCCCUUUUAUGCCAAGGGUUGGCCUAGUAUGAAAAAUGCAAUCCUCUGGGGUAGGCAUCAUACAAUACCUGAUGGAUCCGAUCGACUUAUUGAAAUUCGAAUAAAAGACAAUUUUGAAAAAUUUGGUUAAUUGGAGUGACAAGAGACAAUUUGUUCUAACAAAAUGAGGACAAAGUCCGAAUGGAUUGAUUGCUUUGAUUGACACAUAAAGUGAUAUUAAAAAUCAAUUUAGUGUGAAAAGCUUAUUUUUGAAUGAAUUGAAAUGUCUCGACAAGUUUAUUCGAUGAACCAUAGAUCAAAACUUUUUAAAAAAAGAAUAACGGGCAAAAUGGAUCAAAUGGAAUUGAUAAUUAGUUCAAAAAUUGAUUAAAUUAUCCUAAAAGUGAAUAAAACUGAUCAAGUGGAUUGGAUGAAAUUGAAAAUUUACUAAAAAAUUGACUGAAUUAUCCUAAAAAAAAUAAUGGAUUGGAUGAAAUUGAAAAUUUACUAAAAAAUUAACGAUUUAGUCACAAUUGAUUGGAUUGUCCUAAAAAUUGAAUAAGCUGGUAAAAUUAAUUGGAUGUAAUUGACGAUUUAUUCAAAAUUGACUGGAUUAACCUAAAGUGAAUAAAUUGGUCAAGAUGGAUUGGAUGGAAUUGACAGUUUAUUCACAAAUCGACUGGAUCACUGGCCAAAUGAACAGAAUGAAAUUGAUGAUUUAUUCAAAAUGAAAAUGAAAUUAAAAAAAUGAGCAAAAUUGUAUGGGUCGAAUGAUCUAUAUAAAAAAAAUCGAUUCAAUCAUCUUAGAUACAAAAAUGAAAUGAACGAAAUUGAUGAUUUAUCCAAAUCGAUGGAAUUGUCUGCCCAUUGGUAGUUUCAAAAAAUUCAUUGUGAUUUAUUAGUCUAUGAGCCUUCAGAAAUCAAAAUUUGGCCUUAACAUACUUAUCAUUUCAACGAUGAGGAAUUUGUGAAUUUCUUCAACUUAAUGUCCUUUACGCAAGGGAUUUUUACCAAUUCUGAUAAAAUGACCAAAAGGUGAUUAUUAAAGGCUCAUAUUCUAAUGCGUAAAAACUAUUCCAUUAUUUUCAAUGCCGUCACACGGAAGGGAUCGAAUCCUACCUUACCUUGUGCACUACCCUUUUGGAUAGUACAAAAAAUAUAAACGUGCAAGUCUCAUUGGAUUAUAUAUCCGAGACACAAGGCGGUUUAUGCCUAACGCGGGAUUCCCUAAACGGCGUUCCCUUCCAAGGUGGAUGCAUGAUGCCAGUUUAUCAAAGCGACUAAAUAUGCAGUACAUAAAUGAAACAUGACUUAAAGGAACCCUUUUUGUAUGUCGUAGUGAGCCUAAAAUGAAAUGUAUUCAUGCUACAAAUACGAAGCAUUGAAUUUAAACGUGUCACAUCAAAUAGGGUAGGCUCCUAAAGAGUACCAUGCUAGAACUCUUAUUUUCUAGGGCUUAUGAAUGUAAUGGAGACAAAAAUCAAGAAAAGUUAGUUCAAUCAGAUAAAUACACAUAACACAUUGUAGCAAAGCAAUACACAGAGAUAAAACAAUAAAAGGAAAAGAGGGGUUGGAUCCCUCCCCUAGUGAUUAGUGUCCCUAAUAGGGUAAGACAGACUCUACCCUAGAUAAACUAUCAUGGAUGCAUGAGGUAUUGGCUCACUAAUGCAUCUAGACUCGAUAGGUUUUAAGGUCCCCGAUCCUUCAGAUUUGGAAACCAAAGGUCAUCACUCCCAAGGUUCUUUGUCGGUGGCUCGAGCGAUUCCCCAAACACCGCUACGCACACAUCGUGUCACGGCUACGUGUUUGAGUGAAUCUAUCAAAAAUCCUCAACCUUCGAUUAAAAACUAAAGGCUAUCAACCCAAAGCUUACAAUGGAAGAUUGAAUGACCCCUCGGAUCAUGCUACGCACACAUCGUGUCGCGAUCACACGUCCAAGUGGGUCGCCUAAUCCUAAUAGGGAAGAGUGGCAUGACAAGCCACUAAAAGAAAAAUAAAUGAGGGAUAAUAAAGCGUAUGCACGUAUGCUAGUGCUCGGUUUGGAAGGGAGGGAUCGAGAACCAAUGCGAGACUCUAGGGUAAAAUCCCCCACCCAAAUGCAAUGCAAAGCGCGGGAUAGCAUAAAUAGACCAUUCAUCCAUCAAAUCAAUCGUACGCAAAUGGGUGAGGGAGUGAGUGGGUACGCGCGAAAUGCAAAAAAAAUCCUAAAAAAGAAAAAAUGCAACCCUAAACAUCCAAAUGUGAUACAUGAAAAGAGUAGAAAAGAAAAAGAAUAACUAAAUCAAAUGCUCGGACCCACUUAGAAAGUCCCCAGUGGAGUCGCCAAGUUGUCGCGUCCCAUUUUUCGCGAUGGAAAAGAAAGUGUUUAUAAAAAGAUGUGAUUUAUUAAUAAUAAAUGAAAAAGGACCUAGAAUGGGACUUAAAAGAAUGCGACAAUUUGGGUCCAAAAUUUAGUCUAAAAGGGUUUUUAAGAAAAAAUAGGAGUCGCCACUUGGUAUGGAGUUUUGGUGUACCAAGUCACCCAAAAAUAAAGUAAAAUAAAAUAAAACCCUUUUUGACAAACUCCAGGUCUUUGAAAACAAGAGAAAAUGGGUUCGGGAGUCACGGUUGAAGAAAGGGAAGGCAAAGGUUCAAUUGACUCAAACCUAAGGCACCCUUUCAACCUAGUCUAAGCUAGUUGCGAGGUUUAGUCAAAAUUUUCCUAAUCUAACCCUUAAUUUUAUCAUAUUUGGAUGUUUCCUAUAUGGAUGCAAAUUUAAAUAUAUCGAAAGGGACAAAAUGUUCAUUCAAGGGGUUUAAUUGAACCAAUCGCAUUAAUUGCGAAGGCCAAAAUAACUCCUUGAAGGUGUCACGAGUAUGCAAAUGAUGAAUUUAAAGUAAAGAAAAGAAAAGAAAUUAUAUACAUAUAUAUAAGUGAUCAAAGAAAAAGGGAAUGCAACAUAAAGGGUACGGGAGGCAAAAACUCGUGACAUAAUUUUCUUAUACAUGGAUUAAUAGGGUAUUUAAACUAAAAAGUUAUAAUCACCCAUUUCCCAUGUUUGAAAAAUAAUUAUCCUAACAUGAACAAGCAAAUGAACUAGCUUAAAUGAGAUGCAAUUCUAAAUGACAUGAUUUGUACCUACAGAGGGUAAGGGAUAAUAUAAUAGGGAAUAUCAUGCAAAUGAGAAAAGAUCCUAAAAAUGAAAAUAUGCAUGAAAAUGUAGUGAAUAGCACACAAAGAUGAAUCUAACGCAGGACGGCCUAAAGGGUCUAGCGUUGGACUAGUCCAUUUCUAAAAAUCCUUACUAGCAUUGGACUAGCAAGUAAACGGAAGGAGAAGCCACAACUAGCGUUGGACUAGUGUGGUGACGUCAUGCAUUAACAAUUCAUAGUGAAACAAAUAAAACAUAAAUCAAAACAAAUAAACACAUAAGAGCACGUAGCACAUAACACGUAAAUAUAAUAUCUAGAUGCCAAAAUCCUAAGAAAAGCGGAUAAAACACAUAACACAUAAGCCACAUAAACACGCAACCUAUCUAUUACAUCGGGGAGCGCCUAACUACAAUCUAGAAGGGAAAAAUAUAAUAAAACAAAUCUAAUUAUCCUAUCUAUUACAUUUUUGAGGUAUUUAAAUGCCUCUUGAAUCAUUGUAAAAAUUAACUAAAACAUAUAUAAGAAAAUUUGAAUGAAUAUUUAACUCAAAUAAAUAAAGCAUAUAAAAAUAUAAACACAUAGGAACACAUAAGAGCACGUAAUUGACAUUGAAAUAAUAAAAAUAGGGGUACCUCCCGUUUGAAGUGGUGACUAAAUGGAGUCAAAUUGUCCUAUUUAUACUCACAAUGAACAAAAGGAUCAUGGCACCAAUUUAAUUGAAAAAGAAAAUAAUAAUACAAGCACUAAAUUCACACUAAUAUGUCAGACGUAAAGAAAUUUAAGCAAAUCUAAAAAUUACAAGUUAAGUAUAUUCAAAAGUAGCAUAAUUAGCUAUUAAAGAAAAGAAACAAUCAUAAUGAAGAGAGUCAAAAUUCAUCAGGGACUGAAUUGCAAAAAUUGAAAAAAACUUUUGGGGAUAAAAAUUAUAUUUUUCCAAAGUUUAGGGGUCAAAAUUAAAUGAAAGACAAAAUUCAGGGACCAAAAUGCAAUUAAUUUAAGGACCUAGGUGAAAGGAAAUUAAUGUUCUGGGCCGCAGUGAAAGUACUUGAAAGCACAGGGACUGAUAUGCAAAAACAUUUUCUUAUUCCUUAACAAAUCAGGCCACUGGGCCAUCAUUUUAUUUAUUUCUGGGCAAAAAACUACCUAAGCCCAACCGAAACUCAAAGGAAAAUAAAUGGCCCAGCCCAUUCCUUUCGUCAAACAAACCCAGCUGAAAUACAUGGGCUUCAACUCCCAAACCCAUGCGUAAAACCCAAAAAAAAAAUAACCAAAACCCAAGUCAAAACCCAAUUAAAAACAAACACAAGCCCACUAAAACAAAUAGCCCAUUUCCUUUUUCUUCUUCUUUUCUUUUCUUUCUUUUCUUUCUCCUUCUCCCUUUCCGUUUCCUCUUCUUCUUGUUCGGCCAGCUGAAGAAAACUUCAGCUGGUGGCCAUGGCGGCUGCCGGUGGCGCCGCCGCCGCCGACCGCCACCGCCGGUGACCUCUCCGGUCACCAAAAAUCCUCAAAAUACACCCCCUCACUCGAUUUUUCGCGCAGACUCCAUUUCCGGAGUUAGUUUUAACAAAAAUUGGCCCUAAAGUGGCCAAAAAGCCAAGAAAUCAGUCCAGUUUUAAUUUUCUUAAAACCUUUAAACCCCCACCAAAAAUCAUAAAAAUUAUGCCACAACACUCUUGCAUCUCCUACAAUACAAAUAUGAUUUUAUUUUGACAAGAAAACAACAUAAAAUGGACAAAAUAAAGCAAAACAGCCCCUAAAAUUCUUUUUGGCAUUUUUUCAAACAAUUAACAUGCAUUCACAAGAAACAUUUCCUUUUCCUUUAUCUGGUUCAUGCUAUUUCCCAAAUUUCAGCAAUACCACAACAACAAUGCAAAGUAGCAAGCAGAAACGAAAGAAAACUAAACAAUGAAGCAUUGAUUUAAUGUGCUAGACAAAACUAAAAAUUACCUCAAUGUAGGUGUGUGUGAGGUUGAGAUGGAACCGAGAGGAGUUGGGGAAGAUUUUUUUUCCUUCUCUGUUUCUUUCCUCCACCCAAGUCCGAGAGAGUGAGAGUGAGGGGUCAGGCUGCAAAAUUCCGAGAGCUUCCCUUCCACUUCUCUCGUGCGUUUCCUUUUUUUUUUUCUGCCUCUGCCAAGUGAGCCCAGAGGGAUUGGAGUGCCUUUUUUUGUGGCUUGUCCCCAUGGCAGCCAAAGAGAGCCGAGAGAUACUUGUAGCCAAAAUGGAGCUUGUGUGCUCAAUCUUCCAAAAUGAUGAUCUCUCAACUAAUGAAAAGACCAGUCCAUGGCCAUUGAGUGUGAAAUGGGUUAAAUGUAUUUUGGUAGAGAAAAUGAUUAUGAUGAUUUUUUUUUGUUUGGUUUGUUUUUCUUUUCUUUUCUCUCUUUUUUUUCUUUUUUUCAAGCAAACCUGCAAAAAUGAGAAAAAUGCACAUUAAAAUGCUAGAAAAUAAAUAAUUCAUUAAAUAGAAAAAUAUUGAGAAAAUAUUAAAAAUUGACAAAAAUUUGGUGUCUACAAAGAGAUUUGGAGAAAAUUUGUGUUAAAUGGAUUGCUGCAAAAAUUUCGGAAAAAAAAUGCAAAAGGAGGAAGAUCGUGGGCUGAACCAGAGUUGUUCUGAUUUUCCUUGGCUGCCAUCUUGUGUGUUUGCUCAAGAUACUCUGUAGUUUAGCAACCAACUCUUGCAUGUGGAUUUUAACGAACAAAAACGAAGCAAUUUGUUGAGAGAGAGAAGGAUAGCCGAGAGGGAGGGAAUUAAGUGAGAACCAUUUUUCCUUUCCAAUUUCAAUUCUGUGAACUCUCUUAUCUGACAUUUGAUGAUACUCUGUAGUUUAAUCAGUAUAUUAACUCAAUGAAUUGGGUUUAAACUGAAUGAAUUAGGGAGGAAAAGCUAUGAAAUGCGUAGUUCCUUACUUCACAGCCGAGAGAGAAGAAAAAAUAGACUGAUCAGUUUUCUUUUCCUCUAAGUGAGCUGAAAAAUCUUUUGUGUGCUGUACAAGGCUCAUUUGUAGUUUAAUAAACGUGGUUAACAUGUCUAAUUGGGCUAAAAACUUGGAAGAAGGAACUUGAGUGAAACGGCAAACAUUGGGCCGAUAUAUACACAUAACUAAGGGAUUGCUUAAAAGCUGUGAUAGUUAAGACUGAUUUGUGUGCAUAGUUUGAACAAACCAUUGGUUACAAUUAAAUGUUUCUUAUCCUAAUACAUGUUAGAUUAAAUGUAAGUUAAGUAGCUGGUGGUUUAAUCAAGUGAAAAAUGAAGUUAUUGGAUGAAAACUUGAAGUUUUGUUGCUGAAUUUAUGUAGAUAGGUUGUAUGGCAAUGAGUUAAAACUUAUUUGAUAUUUUGGAAACUCUAAAGUAAUUUGUUAUAGCCGUAUUCAUGAAAUGACUUCUAAUCGCUUAAAAUUGGUUUUCUUAGUAAUUCAAAGACUAUAAAUUGUGAGAGGUGAAGGUUGUGGACUAAGUUAAUUUACAAAUAACUUAAAGUUUAGUUGAAAAAGGGAGUGGAGUAUCUAUAAGUCAUAAUUAAUAUUGGAUUGAGAAAGUAUAGUGGAUUGAAUGAGUAUACAAGUUAAACUUGAAGAUAGGUAUGUUUCAUGGUUUGAAAAUGAUAAAGUUAAUAAGUUUUGAAAAUAAAAGGAUAAAUGAAUAUUAAGAAUGUUAAAUUUAUAUAUUAAGGUCAAACUUGAUUUUAAUAGUUUAAAUAAUAAAGUAAGAAUGAUAAGUGAUCACUUACGAAUUAUAAAUUUACCAUUGAAAUUAUUAAUUUGCCCAGGAAGUAGCUGUGAGCCAGGAAACAAACCCGAGACUCAAGAGUAAUUUACUUGGAUAAUUGGUGAGUGUUUCCGAAUUUACGUGUUUAAUUGUUUAUGUGUACUUGAGUGAAAUUAUGUGACAAAUGAACUUAUUAUGAAAUAUUGCUAAGUGAUUCAUUGCAAAGUGUAUCUCAAUUGUCCCUUGCCUUCUAAGUCGGGAGUGUACUUUAUCGCACUCGGCUUAGUUGCGCUUGAAGGUUGAUAAUUGAUCAAGUGAUAUUGUAAGUGUGCAUGACUGUAAGCCAUGUGUGUACUUUAUCACACUGGCUGAACUGGGCCCCAAAACUCUCUGUUCAAUGGACUAUUCGAGCCAGCAAAGGGCUUGGUCGGAUUGGACAGUAGCUUUGGGUAAGUGUUUCGGUAUACUCGAGUAUUACCACGGAGUAGCAGAUUACUGAUAUUGAUAUGGCCAUCCAAGUGAGGGAAGUGUUUAUUGUUUUGGAGGUUAUAAGGAGGAGUUCGGCGGAGUGUGUAGUGCAUUGAAGUGGCUCUAAUGCGAGCACCGUAUCCUUUUAAAAAGUGAUUGUUCAGUGAAAUGAUUCCUCAAUUGCUUAAUGAAAGUGAUUGUACAGUGAAAUGUGCACUACUUGCUUAAUUGUACUGAUUUAAGUGCUUAUUGAUUGUUGCUUGCAUGGAAACCUCACGGGCGUAAACUCACCCUUUUAGCUUUGUUUUCCUUACAGGAGUCGGAGAUUGAAGAGUGAUUGGAUUGAACUAGAAAGUUAUUUUGAGAAGAUCCGUUAUUCUGUGUAUAUAGUGUAGUCAUGGUCUCUUUUGAAUUUUGAGACGGUUGAAUUUUGUUUGAGUUGUGUGAUAUUAAGAUUGGAUAUUUAGAACAAGUAUUUUGUUUCUUUUAUUGGACAAAUUUAUGUUUCAAACUGAGUGGAGUUGUACUUAAGAGUGAAUGUUCAGUUGUUCAAUGAUAAUGUUAUCUCCGAAGUUAAAGUGAGUGAGUGAGUCCUGGCGAGAGUCAGGCAAGCGAUCCGCUAACUUCUAGGGUAUGCCCUGGGAGGAGGUGGGGUCGUCACAAAAUGAGCAAAAUGUGAUAAAAGGGGUAAUUUUUCAAGAAUUACUGUCAAGUCUAGAGAUGACAAGAUUCACGUAAGGCAGUUUCCUAAUUCAAACCGAAGACUUACGAAGCAUGUUUUCAAAUACAGUUGGGAAACAUUUUCGAUUAUGAGGAAAUAUCUUCUUCUUAGAAAAAUUAGGAAGUUUAAUGUAUUUGGGAAACUAGAAAAUAGGAAAAGAAAAGGCCGGCUCCCGUUUGAUUACUACUUCUUAGGAAAGAAAAGAGGAAGCUAGUCUAUUUUUAUUCCUUCUUUCACGUUUGGAAAGGGACAGUGAGUAGUAGGUUAUUUCUUUUACUUUAUUUUCGGCCGUAAGCCGAGGGGAACAAUUAGAACAUUGUUGCUACAUUUUUCUUUUGAUGUACUUCGAAUAAAUAUAUCACUGGCGGGGAGAUCAUCCAUGUAAAAGAGCUCGACUAUUUUGUAUGGGAUUUUCUCAACGGAGAUGAACUAGAUUUCUACUUCUAGUCAAAGGCCAACUUAAAGGCACGGUUCUAAAUAUCUGUGAGAUCGCAUUAAUUUUAUUUAUUUCUUUUAUUCAUUGGUGUUUGUACGUUUUCUGAUUUAAUUGCUUAUGCUUGUUAUGUUAUUUGAAUGUCAAGGGCCCGAUAUUCGAAUUACCCUGAUGAUCUAAUGCCAAAUUAAUUGAUUGAAUCUGUAAUUGUUCAAUUGAUUAAUACUAGUGGCGACUAGCGUGAUUGGUUUCAUUUUAGGGAAACAUAUGAUCCAAUUUAAACAAACCCUCGUAGCAUGUUUGUUGGUUAGGGUUGAGCUUUUCUAAUUAUUAAUGCAAUCGAGGAAUUAAAUCCAACGGUCGUUCCUAGGGUUAUUUCUUGAUUAUAGAAAUAAUUAACGAUCGUACCUUGGCUAUCGAUAAAGUAAGGAAAAAUUGGUUAUCAGAGCUUGUUGAUGGCUAUAACUAAUCUAGUAAUGAGUAAUUGAAUUAUCUUUGCAUCGAUGAUCAGUUGAAUGGACCGUAUCUGAAAAGUUGUACCUUUGGCUAGAGUUGUAUUGGUUAUUGAUUAAUUUCUAUUUAUUUCUAUUAGUUAUUUUAUAAGUUGGUUAAUUAGUUAUUUUACAUUUUCUAAAAAUCCCCCUUAUUCUGAACUCUGGAAGAAACGAAUUCUCGCCAGUCCCUGAGGAGACGACUCUGCUUGCCACUGUCUACUAGUUAGUAAAUUUAGUCAGCUAAUUAAUUCUGGUAUAUCGGAUUAAGCAAACUCUUCGAGAACAGGGUGAAUCAAGUAACCCAUUGCACACCUAGAGUCCCUGCUCCAGUACCUAGAAUUGAUUAUUGACUGCUUUUGGUGGUAGUUAGGUUUUUUUAUUAUUAUUGCACAGGUUCGGCACCUGUCACCUAUACUUACUGAUGAGAACUUUUGUACAAAGUGCAUCUUUUUGUUUUGAAGCUCUCUAGCUCAACUUUGCUAACAAGGCUUUAUUAGCAAUUUUUAUCCUUCUGAUCCCCAAACCCCUACAUGACUUUAACUUUGUUACUAUGUCCCAAUGCAGAUGAGGAAUCUUCUUUCCCUCAUCCAAGUCGCCCUAAAGAAAACCCCUCACAUAAUUCUUUAUUUCUUCAACUAUUGCAUUCGACAAUAGGGCUAUUUGCAUGGCAUAUGAGGGAAUGGCUAUUAGUAUUGAUUUGAUUAAGGUGGUCUUUCUUAUAAGUGACAAAAUUUCCUCUUUUAUCCAGCUAACUUUUCCGCACUUUAUCAACUAUAUCACUAAAAUUAUGCCUUGUGACUCUACUAUGUAGGCAUGCCUAGAUACUUUCCCAACUCUUGUAUGAGUGGAAUUCUUAUUUGCAGUUUUGAGAAAUUUGCUCUUUUAAUGUUGAAAUUUGGUGAGCAACAGAAAUAUCAUUUGAUUCGUCGAUCCUCAAAAAAAGAAAUAAGCAAAGUUCAGUCAUUAAAUGACAAAUGGGAAAUUUAUAGAAAGUUACAAUCUCCACUGCGGAAUAGUGCACCUACACGCCUUCAUCGACGUUGUUUUGCGACCGGAAGACCAAGAGCUAAUUAUCGAGACUUUGGAUUGUCCGGACAUAUACUUCGUGAAAUGGUUCAUGCAUGUUUGUUGCCAGAAGCAAGAAGAUCAAGUUGGUAAGGAUUAACCCUUGAUUUCUAUUCUAUGAUCGGUGAUCAUAGAAGUCCCCUUUACCAUUCUGUAUAAAUCAGCUAUUCUACAUUUUGACUUACUGUUACUCACCUUCUACCCAAACAAUCCACUGAACUAUCUCAAAAUGUCUCCCAUUAUAUCAACUUAUUGGUUAUUGGCUUCUGCAAAUUGCAAAAGGUCAUCUACAUAAAGUAAGCAUGUCAUAGGAACUCCGACUUUAAAGCCUUUACUGGUUUCCAUUUCUUCCUAUCAACUACUUCAUUGAUGAGCUGUCCCAACCUCUUCAUACACAUCACAAAAGGGUACAAAGUUAAACGAUCUCUCUACCAAAGGCCUCCACUCCAUAAUAUCUCCAUAGAAUUGGCCUACACACAUUGCAUGGUCAAUUCGACCAAUUCAUUUGGAAACUUUAUAAGUUCUAAAGUUUGCUUGAUAAAACUCCAUCUAAUGCCAUCAUAGGCCUUUUCCAAGUCUAUUUUAACUGCCAUGCCCUUCAUUUUGUUCACAAAGUGUAGGAUAUCUUGACUUAUAAAAGUAUUAUCAUAUUCCUAUCUUCCUGGGAUGAAUCUGCGUUGGUCUGGACCAACAAAUCAAUCAUCAAUGGUCUAUUUCUCUCCACCAGAAUUUUGGUAAUCAUUUUGAUGCGAACCCGAAUCUCUAAAUCCCCGCUCUUGAACAGUCAAUUUACACUGGCAGUGGAAUGAUCUAUCUUGACCAAGUUAUUGAAUAGAUUAAAUGAAAAACUCAACCCAACAAUCUGCCAAAGAUGCGAACCUAUUGACACUAUUUCAACCUGAUACCUUCAAAAGAAUGUGAACCUUGGUAUGGGUAGAAAGGUGCCACAAUCAACCGUGGUUGAUUGAUAAUCCAAAACUUGAAGACAAAGGAGACACACUCACUUUGUAUCAAGGGUGUUCACAAAGAAACAAAAAAGAGAAAACUUUUAAAUUUUAUUCAUCAUAGUCUCCCUCUACAAAAGCAUAGAAACGACUUCUUUAUAGCCACAAUACAAAUCCAAACGGGCCAAAACUAAAACUACUUAACUAACUAAACUAAUGACCUAAUUUAAGGCCCAAAUUAAGCUUUAAGCUGGCCAAUUAUUCUAUCUAUCUAAAAAGGCCCAAAUGACUUAAUUAAAACCCUAACUAUCCAAUGGAUCCAACAAGCAUGCAUUGAUUGCUUUAUUCAAUCAAUAAAAGACUCAACUAUGCAAAGACUAAAAAUAAAGGACUUUAGGCUUUAAUCAAUAUAUAGUUAACGUUUUAUGGGUUCAAAAAAAAUGUUGUUCUUUCAGGAAAUUAAAAACCAGCAUACCACGUGACAACAUUGGUUUUCGCAGUCUUUGGCUUGAGAUAAGGGAUUAGCACUUAUCUCUCAUUGUAAUAAUAAUGAAAUAAAUGAAAAAUUUUACUCUCAUUGAACCAUCAUUCAUUUUGGUCAUUUGACACUAUGAGUUCAUAUUUCCUAUAAUAAAAUUGCAAAAUUGAUUUUUUUAAUACUAGUUAGGUUAGAUGCAUUACACACAUACGAAGAUAGAAUUACAAAUUUGAAUCAAGGUUACAUGCCAUGCAUCCAUGAAAAAAGGUUAAAAAACAAAUCUUUAUACUUGCAGUUUAGAAUAAUUAGUUUUUUUUUUCAUCAAUGUAAUGACUAAAACAACUCAUUUGAAUAUUUUCUUGGAAUUAAAAAUUUUGGACAAUAGUGUGGGCUUUUUAAUGAUUUAAACAACAAAAAAUAGGAAGAGAAUAAAUGACAAUAAAAAUAGGAAAGAAUUUAUACUUUCAAACAAAACAAAAAAAUUUACUCAACAUGUCUAUUGGAGUUAUAACCUGUGAUUUAAAACUCGGACCGGACCGGCCGGUUUGGCUAGUUCUUCGAUCCGAGUUAGUAUAAAAAAUUGGGUGAAAGAGACUCGGUCAAAAAUUUGGUUUGAUCGUGAACCGGUAAAACCCAAAAAAUUGGGUUUUUGCAUUUUUUUUAUCUUGAAUUUUCAUUUUUUUGGACGUUUUUAUAUUUUCCUAAACAACUAACAAUAACACAGCAACUAUAAAGCUUGCGAUUUGGUCAAAUUUUUAACAAAUUUGAAAUCAAACAAAAAAUAAAAUAAAAAUGUAUGAAAUGAUGAAAAGAAAAAAUAAUAGGUCAAGAAAUCUCACAUGAAAAAGGGUGAAAAGAUCUAAAAUUUAAAAAAAAUCAAGAAUUGUAGAAAAGGAAUAAAAGAGAAAGAUAAGAAGAAGAGAACGUUAAAAAAAAAAAAAGAAAUCGUUAUCCAAAAAACAAAACACUAACAAAACACAUGACCUAGAAACUUUGUGAUGUAAGACUAGAAGGUGGAAAGCUUCUACGGCGGAUAGGUUGAAAAGAAGAAACAAGAAGGAAUCCUUUAUAAGUUAAAAUAUUUUUCUCAUAUUAUAUUUUGACCCCUCAGUAUUUUAAAUAAUUAUAAUUACACACGUAGAAUUCUUUUAUUACUCAUUUGAAGCCUUACUUUUUUUCAUUUCUACAAUGAUGAUAUUUUGAUUUUAGAUUCAUCAUCUUAUAGAACUGAGACUCAUUAAUGUUAUUAUAUCUUACCUAAAAAGGUUCUAUCAAAGUACUUUGUAUACUUUAUCAUUAAUUUGACCUCUUAAUAUGCAGGAGAUAUGGGGAAAGAUUGAAAUCACUAUCAGUACAUAUUUAUUCUAUUUAAUAUAUAAAAAUAUUUUUAUGACAUCAUUUAGUUCGAUCUUGAGCUUAAUCAGUCGAACCUAUUAACCCCUGACCUCUAAACUCUACCGAAUCAUUACCUGGUCCAAGUUUCAAAAUAUUGGUUAUAACCAAAAAUAUUAGUUAUAUCAAGUUCCUUAUAGAAUGUAUGAGUAUGGUUAUGUUGCUUGUAAUGAUGCUUCCAAUCGUCAAUGUCUUAAAUUAUCAAAGUGCUUAAUGGUGAUUGCUCAAUUUAGGUAGGCCACUAAGCUAGGUCUUACCUAAAUCCAACUCACACCCAUCAUAUUUUUAAGGGUUAAUAACAAAAAAGUCCCCUUUGCUAUACCUAAUAUACAGAAAAGCCCCCCAUGGUUUCAAAACAUACAAAAUGACACCUUAUGUUUUGAAUUAAAUUAUAAACUAAUAGAAUUCGUUAAAUUUAACGGAAUUCGGUAAACUUAACGGAAAACUUAACGAAAUUCGGUAAAUUUAACGGUAAAUUUAAUGGAAUCCAGUAAGUUUAACGGCCAAAAUCGUCAUUUUCGUUAAGUUUAAUGAAUUCUAUUAGUUCACAAUUUAGUUUAAAAUAUGAGGUACCGUUUUGUAUGUUUUGAAAUCACGGGGGGCCUUUUUGUAUAUUAGAUAUACCACAGGGGGCUUUUUUGUUUUUAACCCUAUUUUUAAUGAGUUAGGUUGUGACAGCCCCACCUCCCCCUAAGGUGAACCAAAGGGUUCGGCAGACCGCCUGUCCAACUCUCGCCAGAAUUCACUCACUCACUACAGUCCUCAAAUAUAAUACAAUGUAAAUCUCAAAUAUACAUCAAUUCCUCCAUGAAUAUACAUAUCAAAAUGAAGCAAAUACUUGUUCCCAAGCGUGGAAUGUACACAUACAUUCGUUCAAUUCCAAACAUUCAAACAAUCCCAACUAUUACACAAGAUGAAUCUAAAACAAACUGUACAUGAGAUAAUCCAUCCAAUCACACGAAGAAUUUAAUACCAGUGCUUCCUUUACCUUGAGCCUUGUGGGGAGAAAAUAUGUUUUAGGAUGAGCUAGAAACUCAACGAGUGUCCAGUAAAAAUCAGAAAUCAAAUAAGCUUCACAAUAGUGCAUUUCGAUGAUGUCAUGAAUCAAUGAUCAAAUAUACGUUUAUUGCUCUUGUGAGCCAGGAAAAUCAUUGUACUUAAACAUCCAACUCUCAAACAGAUCCAGUAACAGUCAAACGGUAAUAGGGAGCCAUCGAUGCUCCAAAUAAAUAGUGGUGGAGACGUUGAGUUUAAACGAAUUCCAAGCACUCUUUUGAGCCAAAACAAUUCAUGGCACACACACAAGCACACAUGAUAUGCAAUCGAGUAACCAAUGCAACAAUUAGUUCGAGAAGUAACUUUGGAAAUAGUUGUGGAAUCACUCACCAACCACAGCUCAUGAACCUCAUCCGUCAUAGACAAUUUCCUUGAUCAAGUCCAAGUCCUAGAUCACAAAUAUCAAGAGUUAACUCAAACUCAAAGCAAUCAAAUGCCCUCAAAGAUUGGACAGCAUUUUCCCUUAAUUUCCUUAUUUUCCCAUCCUACAAUACAUCACCAAUAACAUCUCAAUUCAAUCAUAAUUACACGUACAAAUCAUAGGCCAUACAACACACCUAAUUAGGUCACAAUACCCCUUAAAUCUUAACCAAUUAAGAGCUCAAUAACCAACCAUAAGAAAGCCCCAAAUUUGAAACCCUAAAACUGAAAUUUUUCGCACAAAUCAGAAAUUUUCCGCAAACAACCACAACUUACACACAAAGGCUCCAUUUGACACCAUAUCAAGCUAUCAUUCUAUGACCAACCAACAAUUAUCAUAUAAAAUCAGAAAAUUCACUAGUAAAUCAGAAAUUUGUCAAACUCUACUUAAAAUCAUGAAAUCUUUCACAAAAUAGCAUAUUUAGCCAAUAAAACCACUAAUCCACCCUUAUUAAGAAUAAAGAGGGAAUUUCUUAUCAACUCACCUUAUAACCACAAGAAACAAGGUAGCUUAGUGCUUCCCCUUCACCAAAGACUCCACCAAAGCCUUUAAACCUCCUUAGUGAGCACUUGUAUGGAGUAGAUUGCAAAACUAACGGUGAAAUCUCAAGUUUUGGACAAGGAAUUGAAAUAGAAAAUGAAGUUUCCUCUCUUGUUUUCUCUCUCAAAGCAGCCGGCCAAGAAGAAGCAAAAUGUAGACAAAGUUUAGCCAAGAAACAAGAUAAGAAUGAAGGAAAACAGCCGGUCAAACUUGGCUGCCAAAGGUGCCACGUCACAAUCUGGCCAAGAUCUGGCCGGAUUGCUGGUCGGAUUCGUGGUAGUGGCGAAAUCAAAAUUUUUUUUCCAAAACCCCUGCCAAUCCGACCAACAACUGGCCGGAUUUCCGGCCGAAUUCUCUAACAAAUACUGUUCACCAGAAAUUUCCUUUCUUCUUCUUUCGGGCGUCACAUAGGUCAACUCCUAGAUCAAGCUCCUGUAUUUUUUAUCCAAAAUUUUAAAAUAGAGACCCUAUUCUAGACCUCAUAAGGGACCCCAUAAAAGAAUAUUAGUUUGAGUACAUCUAUGGUUUAGACUCAAACCUAAACCCUAUCCAAACACAAUAUUAGGCGAUAAUAUUUCAAGAAUAUAUAAUUAAACGAUAGAUUUCGCACUUUUAGCUCGUAUUCCUUAUGAUGCAACUUUAUUGAAUGCUAAUUUGUUACUUGAAAAUAGUAAUCAGAUUUUAUUAAUGUUAUUUUGAAAUCCAUAAUUUUAUUGUUGGUAAAAUUAAAUUUUCAAUUCCAUAUUAUAAAAAUACAAUUUUGAUCACCUAUUGAGUACACAAAACUAAAUCACAUGAAUAUUAACCCGGAGAGGAUUCGAUCAUCUCCAAACCAAACCAGCCAUGGGUGUAUGUGCACUAUGGAACCCCCCAAAAAGGACUCAAGAAUUCCAUCACCACCAGACCAAACGAGUCACAGGUGCACUAUAAAAACCAUUGAAUUUUAAAUUUUUGUAAGGCAAGAGAUUGGAUGCCCCAUCUAGCAACCCAAGAGGGACUUCAAGUCCCUCUUACUGCUGUUGGACUAACGGUCUGUGGGUGCUUAUUCAAUUGAAUGUCUAUUCUAUAAAGUGCAUUAAAUAUUACAAAUUGGCAACGAAAAGAAAAAAUAAAAGGCUGCAAGUUGCUAUCCUAAUCAGAACUUAGAGUUACCAGUCGUACUUGUUGGGCCAUAAAAUAGUGCGACAUAGAGAAAGGAAGGCUAGGGCAUGCAAGAAGGCCCAAAUGAGUUGACAAGGUAAAAAUGCUGGUCAAUAAAUUGAUGGAGGUUAGAAGAUAGAUAAGCGGAUUGGCAAACUCAAAACAGUUGAUGAAGAGAUGGGACCUUCAUCCCAAAAGAAGGGUAAAAGAUGAAAUAUCCGGCAAUUGAGGCUACAAAAGUAAAAAGUGUGAUUAAGGAACACACAACUCUUUCCAGCCAAAAACAUCAGUCUUAUUUCCUUUUUUACGUAUUUCAAUGCAUUAGCUAAGUUUUCCAAGUCAAAGUAUUUUCAGCAUAGGUCUAGUUUAGUCCGAUUAAAAAACAAUUAAUUGGUGAAAGAAAUCUUUGUAGUUGAUCAUUCUCGAGAAUGCAACUUUAUAUCAAACGCUGUUCAUUAUUAUUGUAUAUUUUUAAUUAUUUUUACUUUGUUUAAUUCUUAACUCGUGUGUUCAUUUAAUUUAUGUUCUACAAGUGUGAUGGAUUGUAAACCUAUUUGCGUUCUUUUGGUGGAUAUGGUACCAAAGGCUCUAUUUGGAUUUAUCAUUUUUCUCACCGAUUAUUUUUUGUUUAUGGGAUCCAUUGUAAUAAACUCCAAAACAACUUAAAAAACAACUCCAAAAAUACACAGUAUCAAAUACUAGAACCUAAUAGUUUAAGCUUUUGGGUCAAAGUUGGAUUCGUGACUUACAUAUUGGCUCUUUAGUAUGCUCUCUCGAGGUGUUUCUCCCUAACAAGUGGUAUCAAAGCUCGUUCUAGUUAAUUAUUUGAGAUUGAAUGCUCGGUGGUAUACCAUGGAAUUUGGAACUAUACAGUUUCUAAUUCAACUGUUUAAUGGAACUACAACUUUCACUCUUUGGCAAAGAAGACUGAAGAAUGUUCUAGUUCAACAGGGCUUGGCAAAAGCGUUGAUGGUAAAGACAAGAAGCCAGGGAGCAUGAAAGAUGAUGAGUUUGAAGAGUUGGACACAGGGUGUGUGAGCACAAUUCAUCUCUAUGUGGUGGACAACAUUAUAAAUAAUGUGAUAGAUGAGAAAGAUUCUGCAGCAGACCUCUAGAAAAAAUUGAAAAAGCUUUAUGAUAAAUAUAUAUUUUACGUGUUUUAAGUCUGUUUUAUUAGUUAGUUUUGGUGUGUUUUAGUUACUUUUAUAGCUAAUUAACUCAGAUUUUAGUGAAAAUAUACAUUUUAUGGUUUAAAGUGUAAAAAUUACAUUUCUAUGGAUUUUAAUUGUGAAAACUUCAUGUUUUUAUAGGUUUAAUGAUUCAAUCAUCAAACGGAGUGACUUGAGAAGAUAAAUGCAAGUUUUCCAGUUUUGACACCUCAUGGUAUUUCGGCUAUAUCUUGAGUUACACUCAUCGGAUUGAGGUGAUUCGUAUACCUUGAAGCUAAGAGAUAGACCUACAUUUAGUAUGAAGACAUCGAAAUCUAGUUAGUCAUUUUCCUUGUCAAAAAGUCAAAAUACAGAAGUGCAUAUGCAUGGUUAAAAGCUGAAACGGAGCUCUGACCAGUUGAGGAUAUUGUGGUCAUUUGUCGGUUCACAAAACUCCAAAUUGGAUGAUUCUUGAAGAAUUGGAAAGCUAACUCAAAGGGUACAACUUUCAUGUUUUGCACAAGAGUUAGUCCACCUUCCAUCAUUGAGAAAAUAGCAGUUGAAGUGAUGCCACAUUCACAGAAGUGAAAACACGACUUUUGAAUACGCGAGCUGAAGUCGCCUAUUCUUGCCUGAUUUCUGCAACUUGCUCAGCCAUUUACUCCAUUUUUACACUACUUUCCAGCUCUACUUCAGACAAGAAUUUUGGCUGCACAUGUUCAAGGGACCUUUUGGAAGAAAAAAUGAGCUUUAUGUCAUGUCUAAAACCACUUUUUGACUCUCUUAACAUUAGAGAUAUGAGAAUCAUUAGAGAAAGAGAGAGUAGGACAUGAGAAGGAGUUAUCAUCAGAUUUUAGCAUUAGAGCUUAGCUUUAGUCUUGUUUUGUUCUCUCUAACUAGAAUUUUGUGAGAACAAUUGGAGAUUUCUUUGUAUAACUCAUUUUGUUGAAGAAAUAGAAGAUCAUUGGGAGUUUCUUCACUUCUUGGCUAAGCUUUUUUUAUCUAUCUUUUACUUGUGAUUUAAUAUGUGUUCAUGCAAUGAAGCAAUGUUCUUUCUUGUCAUAUAUUAUACGAGUAGCUAAAUUUCUAAAUCUAGGGAGUAGAUGAAACUUAUGCCUACUUGAUAUGAAGUGAAUAUGAUUUAAAUUUGUUACACAUUGUAUUAACUUGUUUAUUUAUGCAUGUUUAUCACUUGUUAUUGCUUGAUCACCAAUGGCAAGCUUAUAGUUGUUAUUAUUCAAUGUAAUUUGGUAAUAAUGAUAGAACAACGUAAAUAGAGCUUAAGUAGUAGACUCAUGAGAAUAGAGAUACAGUUAAGUAGAUUAAACUUGUAUUUCAUGAAGGAAACAAGAGUAGAUCUAGUUAUUCACCAUGAAAAUAGGGAAAACUAGUCUAGUUUAGGCCAUUUCAUCAUGAGAAUGAGAUUUGGUAAUAUUGAAAAUGAAUCCCUAGUUAAACAAGAGUUGUAACAAGAGGUAAAUCUAUUUAUUUGUAUCUUUGAUGCUAUAAGUGGAAUUUACAUCCUUAAACUCAAGUAUUUAGUGAAUUUUCUCCAUUGUUACCAUGAAAAUAUCUAGUUAAGACUAGUUAGAUAGUAGUAAUUACCAUUUCUCUUACUUGAAUUGAUUAUUAGUCUAAAUAAUAGAGUAAGUAAGGUCUUAGUAUAUGUAAGUUGCUCCCUGUGGCAUCGACCUGAUAUUUGCCCUAAACUACUAAUUUGACAUGUAUACUUGCACUAAAAAUGGGUAUAUUUCGGAAUUAAACUUGUACUCAUAUCAAAAACCCGUCACUUUAUCUAGUUAAAAGUUUAUCCAAUAAACUGCAUCUGAAGUGACAACUUUAUACGUUAAAGAUGGAGGAGGGUGGCAGCCUCAUGGAUCAUAUGAAUACAUUCAACAGAAUAUUGGAUUAACUCCAAAAUGUUGGUAUAUACAUUAAGGAAAAAAUUAAGACCCUUUUACUUCUUACCUUAGUCUCUAAUUCUUACGAAAGUGUCAUGACGGUCUUGUUUUAUGGGAAGGACACUUACAGUUAGAGAAUGUGCAGCCAUCUUUGUUAGAUCAUGAAAAGCAAAAGAAGGUAAACUAGGAUGUGACACAAGAAACUGCAUUAAUUGCUCGAGGUGAGAAUAAAAGAAGAAAAAAACUUAGCGGUGAAUCUAAGGUAGGUGAUUCAAAAGCUAAGAGAAAGGGUGGAGUCCAGUGCUUUGGUUGUCAUGAGUUUGACUAUAUCAAAAGAGAUUGCCCUUAUCGAAAGAAAAAUGAUGAGAAAGAGUAUAACGAUAUCGCUGGAUAUAUAUCGGGUGGAGAUAUUCUCAUAAUCUCCAAAGGUAGUAAUACUUCUUCUCGUGAUGGUUGGAUUUUAGAUUUUAGAUGUGUUCCACAUGUUUGUUCCAAGUUAAGCUAUUUUGAUACACUCCAAAGAAAGAAUGUAGGUUUUGUGUCCUUGGGUGAUGGACCUACUUGUGAAGUCUAAGGUGUUAGAGUAGUGAAAAUCAAAAUGCUGAAUGGAGAGAUUCAUUCUUUGAGUGGUGUGGCUUAUGUCCCAAAGUUACGAAAGAAUCUAAUUUAUUUGAGCUAGUUAGACUCUGAGGAUUACAACUUUUCGACUACAAGUGGAGUCUUGAAAAUCAUACAUGGCGAGACGGUCUUGUUGAUGGGGAAGAAGUAUGGUAAUUUGGACCAUUUGAAUACCUCAAUGGUUUGGGAGCAUAGCUCAAGGAAAGGGAUCCAAGGAUGCUCCCAAAUUACAAAUGGUGGUGAGAGGAAAAAUCCUUCUACGGGAGAGGGUAAAUUGAGGCUCCUCUCAUGAGUCAACUAGAUGUUGGACUCAGUUAGCUAUACACGUUCAUUUGCUGAUUGAAUCAAUUGAAAACAAAAUCGUCUAGGCACUAAGGAAUUUGGUGGUAAAAAAGCAAAUGGAGUUUUUGGGAUGGUUUGCUAUGUUUGCUAAAAGAAAUAUUCGCCAAGGUGGAGAUUGUUAGGAAAUUGACUUAAUUUCUUUUAGUCAAGAUCCUUAUUUUGUGUGAGAAAUAACUAAUCUCCUAAUUGGUUUUAAUUGCUUCAAGUAGUAGCCAAGUAAUUUCCUAUUUUAUUUAGAAUUUAGAAGUUAUUUCCUAUUUUGUAUAAGUUUAGGAAUUAGUAUUUGUUUCCUAUUGUUAUUUAUUUUUCUGGCCAAAUAAUGCUCUCUAUAAAUAGAUAGAUUGGCAUACUACAAAGACUCACAAGAAAGGAGUGAGAGACUUCUUAGUAGGUAAGAGAGUUAUACAAGCGUUGGGCUUGAGAAUCAAUUUGUAGGCUUGUAGUAUUUUUUUUUCUCAUAGUAAAAACAGUUUUUCUCUCCGUGGAUGUAGGUUUGGUGAUUAAGUUGAAUCACAUUAUUUCUUGUGCAUUUCUCAUCAUUCGUGCUAGUUAUUACUUUCUAUUAAAUUGUUGAUUUUUUUUCUUUUUCUAUUUUAAAUAGUUGACCUGAUACCCUAACAAAUGGUAUCAGAGCUUCAAGUUGCUCGACUAGGUUACUCAUGGGCAAGUGGAUUCUCCUCGAAAUUGGACUAGUGAAAAUUUUCUUCUUGAUGGUGGACCGAAGUGUCAAGGAGUUUGGUUGGUAUUCGACCAGGUACGCCAAGGGUUUGACAAGGGAUUCGGUUGGUGUUAGACCAAAGAGUCAAGGGUUGGGAGGGGUUCAGAAUCUAGUUUGGAUGUCGAAAAAUAGUAUAUUCAUGAUUGGAAGAAAAGGUGACCUUAGAUAUUAAGGUGAGAUUGUGUUGAGUAUUAAAGUGGGAUUGGAGAAAAGCUUGUAAAUUUGGAUUUAACGUAAGAAGUUACUCGUGAAGGGGGAGAUUUGUUAGAUUCAUGAGUAAAGAAUUAUGUCUCACAUUAGAUUUAAUGUAAUGGGUUACUCAAAAAGGGGGAGAUUUGUUAGGUUCAUGAGUAAAGAAUUAUGUCUCACAUUGGUUCGAGAGAUAAAGAAAGAGUGGUUAAUAUAUAAGUAAAGGCACGAAACCUAAUAGGUUAAGUUUUUGGGUCAGAGUCGGAUUCCUUACUUACAUAUUAGGCUCUUUAGUGCGUUCUCUCGAGGUAUUUCUCCCUAAUAAAUACAUGAAAAAUUAAAAUAAAAUAUUCUUUAACCACUACCCUCCCCUCCCCUCUUUUCUUUAUUUUUAUUUUUUUUCUCUCUCUCUCCUCAACCCUUUUCUCUUACUCCCCUUUCCCUUGCCAUCCCAUCUCCCCUCUUUUCCUUACUUUGGCAGGGGAAAGAAGAAAGAGAAAAGGGAGGGAAAGAGAAAAAGGGCAAAAAAAAGGGGAGGAUGGCUACUGGUCGUGGUGGUGGGUGAUAGAAAAUAUUUAAUAAAUUUAUUAAAAAAUACAUAAAAAUUUUAAAUUCUAGAAAUACUCCAAAACACAGAAUCCAAACGAACCAUUUAUAGUGAAAUUUUUCACAUACAGAAUUCACAUGGACAUGAAAAUAGAUUCAUAAUAAAUUUCACAUUUACCAAUCAAUUUGAUUAGCAUAGUGUUUGUCAAUUUUACGUGGCAAAUUUACAAAAAUUAAAAAGUUUUGGUUAGAAAAAUGAAAAUACAAAAAUAUGUGUCUCUAAACUACUUAAUGGUCGUGGCCCUUGCACGCUUGCAUUGCCUUGUGAGGUAAAAUACUUGCGGCAUUGGAGAACAAGUGUCCUUUUAUCUUGGCAUAAUUUCAGAAACCUUAAACUCCCCUACGGUUUCCAAAAAUUUCAUUUAGUACCCCUUCUAUUCUAAGAAUUACACUGAAAUCCGUUACUUUAAGUAUAUGGUUACAAAAUCAACCCUUGUCAAGAUAAAUGGCUUAAAAUAUUAAAAGAAAAUUCUGACAACAAACAUUAUUCUAAAGUUAUCCUUAGAGUUCCUACAAAAAAUUAUGCCAAAAAUAUUUUACUCAAAAAUGGAACAAACAAAGUAGAAAAGUCAAGAAUAAAUAAGCCUCAUAAAUUUGAUUGUUAUGGCCAAUAUUACCGUUAAUAGUGCAACCUUUUUCUGGACGAGCACAGGAUAAAAGUCUACUGUUGGAACAAUAAUGAACAACCCAUUCAGUCUAUUUUACAUAUAUACAUGACCAUUAUUUUAGAAAAUGUUCAACAAAAACAAUUCAAUCAAAUAAUGUGACUUUUCUACAACACUUUUCCAUCAUAUUAACGGACUUACAGUUUGAUUUAUAAUCUAAAUUCAGUUUACCAAUUUCACUAUUGGUUUGAAAACAUGCUUAAAAAAUAACUGCAACAAAAUUUUAAGCAUAAAAAUCGAUAUUUAACUACACUUGCACAAGGGUCAAAUUUAUAUAAUCCAGAAUACAUACAAAUUCUAAGUACAUAUUGUUAGAAAUUUCCAAAAUUUAUAAAGGAUCUGUGGACAGAUCCUUGUUGAUCCAUCAGUGGAUCCAUAAUCUAGCCGUGAAUUCAAUUGUAAUUGAACUGGAUUCCUGGACUUGAUUCUGUCCAGAGAGUUGUGAAAUUCUAUCUAGUUGGAUAUGCGGGCAGAUCCUUAGUAACUGUCAAAAUAUUCAAUUUUUCUAUUUUGACAACUUUUCAAGUUUUGGCGGUUUAUAUAUGACAGCCCCACCUCCCCCUAAGGCGAACCAAAGGGUUCGGCGAACCAAAGGGUUCGGCGACCACCUGUCCAACUCUCGCCGGGACUCAGUUAGUCACUACAGUUCUCAAAUAAAUUACAAUAUAAAUCUCAAAUAUUACAUCAAAUUCUCCAAUAAUUACAUGUCAUAAGCGAAGCGGAAACAAUUCCCCAAACUAUACAUAACAUGAUUCCAAAUCCAAACUGUACAAGAUAUAUGCCAUCCAGUCACGUGAAUGAGUACUACAAGCCUUCCUUCGCCACGAGCCCUAUGGAGGGGAAUAAAAUAUUUUUGGGGUGAGCUAGAAGCUCAGUGAGUAACCAAUAAAAGCAGUCAUCAAAUCAGUUUCUCAAUAGUUCAUUUCAAUGAUGUCAUGAAUCAGUAAUCAAAUAUACGUUUAUUACUCUAGUGAGCCAGUGAAAUCAUUGCACUUAAACACCCAACGCUCAAAUAGAUCACUUAACAUUAAACAAUAAGGGGGAGCAACGUUGGUGCUCCAGAUCAUGUCAUGAACAACAAACAGGGUGGAGACGUUGGUGUUCAGCACAAGACUCUCCAAGAACUCAUUAAAGCCAAAUCAUGUCAUGAACUCACAUGCAAGCACGCAUGAUAUGCAGUCGAGUAAAUAAUGCAAGAAACAUUUCAAAAGUACUUGGGAAAUAGUUGAGGGUCACUCUCCUCCACGGCUCAGAAACCAUCCAUCAUAUAUCAUUACCUUGCCCGAGUCCAAGCCCUAAAUCACAAACUCAAAGCAAUCAUACAUUCUCAAAGUUCGGACAGCAUUUCCUCAUAAAUGCUUCAUUUCCAACCUACAAUAUAUCACCAAUCACACAUACGGUUAAUAAGCAAUAAAAUACCUCCAAUUAAGCCACAAUAUCCCUCAAUCAAAGCUAAUUAGAAGCUUAAGAGCCACCAUUAGAAAAACCCCCCAAUUAAACCCUAGAAACCGGAAUUCAUUCCCUCAAGCAUAAAUUUUCCGCAACGAUCGCAAUUAACAUAUAAAAGUUCCGUUUAACACCUUUCGGUACAAUAUCCAUAACUGAAGCUACCCUUAUCGGAUUGAAACGAAUCUUAUAGCGUUUUGAAACCAAGACAUAAACCUACAAUUCUUAUGAAGACCUCCAAGGCCCAAUCAUGCAUUUUCAUGGUCAAAAAUGGGAAACCCCACGAAAACAGAAAUCUGGGCGCGAAACAGGGUUCAUGAACAGUCAAGAGUAUUUCGAUCAUUUCACAGGCUACAGUUAUCAGAUCGAGCUGAAAUUUUACAGACAGCUAGUUAACACCAUUUGCUACAACUUUCAUGUUUUAACCUAAGCCUGAUUCGGCCUCUAACAUGCUCAAAUAAAUCCGGUCAGAACAGGACAGAUUUGAAACCCAAACCUGAAAUUUCCGCACAAAGCUGAAAUUUUCCGCAACCAACUUCAACUAACAUAUAUAAGCUUCAUUUUACACCAUUACCAGCCAUCAUACCAUGAUCAAACCAUGAUCCUCAUACAAAAUAGAAAAAUAACAAGAAUAAAUCAAAAUUCAUCAAACCUUCACUUCCAACCAUAAUCACACCAUAUGUCAUCAUAUUAAACCACUAAAGCCACCAAUUGAACAUUAGCAAAGCUAAAGGGAAAGAUUCUUAACAACUCACCUUGUAACCUCAAGACAACAAGCAACUUAGCACCUUUGUUUCUCAAACCACUUCACCACUCACCUUAAUCCUACCAAGAGAAAGAUUUUUAUGGAGCAAAUCAAAGUUUUAGCAGUUGGUUUGUGAGAUCAAGGCAAGAAAUUGAAGAAAGAAGUUGGAGGUUUCUUUCUUUUCUCUCCCUAAGGAGUUCGGCCAAUAGAGCUUCAAAUGAAGAAAUAAAAUGGACAAAAUUAGCUUUAAGAAGGUAAAAAUAUCUUGGUCAAAAGUCCAAGGAUGAAUUGAAUGGUGACACUUCUCACCUUUUAGCUUAAAGCUUAUCUUUUUGUCUCUCUAAUACAAAUCUCUUAGCACCUUGUAAAAUAAUAUCACUUAAUACAAACCUCCAACAAGUUGUCAAAAAUAUAUUGCAUUUACCGCACUAGUGGGUCGCACGUCCAUAAUACACUUCAAACUUAACGUGGACUAACUUGUAUCAAGGAAAUAAUUUGAAAAUAUAUUCCCUUAUACAAAUGUAUAGGAAAUUAAUAUAUUGAAGAAAGGCAUAAAAUUAUAGACAAGGAAACAAAAUAAUGUCUCAAAAAUAUAUAAAAAUUUUCGGAUUCUCACACUCAUCCUUUCGGGGCGUCACAUUAUACCCCUCCAAAUGGUCUAAAACUUAAUCAAGGAAUAGACAUCAAAUCGUUGGACAAAAGUUGCAACUCUUAGUUCAUAACAAUCUCAUCUAUAUAAGAUUAAUUAAGAGGGUGGUUUGUUGCAGAAAAUUACUUUCCUAAUCACCUGAAUUCUCUAUAAAAUGCACCAUUGUUCAAUUAGGUUUGUCUUACUUUAUAUAAGAGUUGAAAAUAAGCAAACUUCAAAUUAACCUAAAGGAUAGCUGUCCAAGUUCUGUUAUACACAAAACUGUACAAAUAAAACCUAAAGGAAAGUGAUUUAGAAUCAUGAUUUGAACCCAACUUUUGUAUCUUAUACUAUGUAAUAUUUAGCCAUUUCUUUUUUAAUAUCCUCAACAAUCUUCAGGCUUUAAUUUGUUCUUCCGCAAUCGUUGGUACAUUGAAAGAAUUAGCAUCCAACAUUAUCAAGAUAAAAAGAUUUGAUGGAAGGAACUUUAUUAGAUGGCAAAAAUGUGUUCAUUUCUUCCUUACUGCUUUUCAAGUAGUCUAUGUUUUUACCAAUCCAAAACCCUUGAUUGUCAAUCCUGAUGAAGAAGCUCUUGAGGACAUCCACAAACGCCAAAAGUGGGAGAAUGAUAAUGCGAUUUGCCACGCUUAUAGCCUCAACAAUAUGAGCGAUGAUUUGUUCAAUGUCUACCAUUCAAUUCCAAUUACUAUGGAACUUUGGGAGCAAUUGGAAUCCAAAUAUAUGCAAGAAGAUGCAACAAAUAAGAAGUUUCUUAUCUCCUCUUUUAAUAGUUAUAAAAUGGUAGAUAAUAGAUCUAUUACGGAGCAAUUUGCAAGAUUCUUAAGAAGAAAUAGGAGAAACAAGACUUUUGCAACAAAGCAAACAAAAAUCUGGUUGCUAUGGUUUCUGAAAUUAAUGUGGCUGAAAAUGAUUUUGUUUGGUGGAUUAAUUUCGGUGCUAUAUAUCACAUUUGCAUGUGGAGUUUUUCAUGAUCGUGAAACUGAUAGAUGAAGGCACCGUGGUCGAUAUGAAAAAUUUUACUACCAUUUCAGUUCAAGGGUGAGUGAAGUAGAAUUAAAGUUCACUUCCAAAAAUGUAGUAACUUUGACUAAUAUACUCUGCGUGUUGGAAGUUAGAAGAACCUAGUGUUGGGUAGUUUGUUAAACAAGUUUGGUUUUAGAUUUAUUUUGAUGGGUAACAAAGUUAUCUUAUCCAAGUGUGGUCUGUAUGUAGGCAAGGGUUAUUUUCACAAUAGGAUGUUUAAGUUAAAUGUACUUGCUACUGCUAAUAAUAAGAAUAAUAAUGUUUCUGCAUAUUUGGUUGAGUUUUCUUCUAGUUUAUGGUAUAAUAGGCUUGGUCACGUUAAAUAUAAAAGAAUGUAAGAAAUGAUGAAACUUGAACUACUACCAUAUUGUAAAGUGCAAUACAUGCAUGUUAACAAAAAUCACAAGAAUUCCAUUUCCUGAAGUUGAAAGAAGUUCCAAAGUUUUGGACUUAAUUCAUACUGAUGCAUGUAACUUACAUGGCACACCUACUUGAGGAAGAAAUAAAUAUUUUGUUACUUUUUACAAAUGAUUUUUGUAGAUAUUGUCAUGUUUAUUUGUUGCAUUUAAAAGGUGAAGUCAUGAAUAAAUUUAAAAUAUAUAAGAGUGAAGUUGAAUUUUAUCAUGAAAUAUUUGUGAAAUGCUUAAGGCCCGAUAGAGGUGGAGAAUAUUAUAAUAUUAACUAUUUCCGUCUACUAGGAUAGAACAUAAAGCUACUGCUCCUUAUAGAUCACAAUAAAAUGGUGUAACUGAAAGGAAAAAUCAUGUGUUAACUCAAAUCAUUGAUGCACUUUUGUUAAAUUCUAUCCUAAGCCAAAAACAACUUCACCUUUCUAUUCUAAACCAAAAAUUGUUGAUACACCACAAUAACAUUACAGUUCCUUAUUUGCUUCAUAUUGUGACAAAAUUGAAGAAAAGUGCAAUAUAUGCAUGUUAACAAAAAUCACAAGAAUUCCAUUUCUUGAAGUUGAAAGAAGUUUCAAAGUUUUGGUCUUGAUUCAUAGUGAUGCAUGUGACUUACAUGGCACACCUACUUUAGGAGGAAAUAAAUAUUUUGUUUCUUUUUAUAAAUGAUUUCUAUAGAUAUUGUCAUGUUUAUUUGCUGCAUUUACAAGGUGAAGUCAUGAAUAAAUUUAAAAUAUAUAAGAGUGAAGUUGAAUUUUAUCAUAAAAUAUUUGUGAAAUACUUAAGGUCCGAUAGAGGUGGAGAAUAUUAUAAUAUUAACUAUUUCCGUCUACUAGGAUAAAACAUAAAGUUACUGUUCCUUGCACAUUACAAUAAAAUGGUGUAAUUGAAAGGAAAAAUCAUGCAUUAACUCAAGUCGUUGACGCAUUUUUGUUAAAUUCUAUCCUAAGCCAAAUAUGACUUCACCUUUCUAUUCUAAACCAAAAAUCGUUGAUACGCCACAAUAAAAUUACAGCUCCUUAUUUGCUUCAUAUUGUAACAAAAAUGAAGAAAAGUGCAAUGCAUGCAUGUUAACAAAAAUCAAAAGAAUUCCAUUUCCUAAAGUUGAAAGAAGUUUCAAAGUUUUGGACUUGAUUCAUAGUGAUGCAUGUGACUUACAUGGCACACCUACUUUAGGAGGAAAUAAAUAUUCUGUUACUUUUAUAAAUGAUUUUUGUAGAUGUUGUCAUGUUUAUUUAAUCCAUUUAAAAGGUGAAGUCAUGAGUAAAUUUAAAAUAUAUAAGAGUGAAGUUGAAUUUUAUCAUGAAAUAUUUGUGAAAUGCUUAAGGCCCGAUAGAGGUGGAGAAUAUUAUAAUAUUAACUAUUUCUGUCUACUAGGAUAAAACAUAAAGUUACUGCUCCUUAUAGAUCACAAUAAAAUGGUGUAACUGAAAGGAAAAAUCAUGUGUUAACUCAAAUCAUUGAUGCAUUUUUGUUAAAUUCUAUCCUAAGCCAAAAAUGACUUCACCCUUCUAUUCUAAACCAAAUAUUGUUGAUACACCACCAUAACAUUACAGUUCCUUAUUUGCUUCAUAUUGUGACAAAAUUGAAGAAAAGUGCAAUACAUGCAUGUUAACAAAAAUCACAAGAAUUCCAUUUCCUGAAGUUGAAAGAAGUUUCAAAGUUUGGACUUGAUUCAUAGUGAUCCAUGUGACUUAAUGGCACACCUACUUUUGGAGAAAAUAAAUAUUGUUUCACUUUUCAUAAAUGAUUUCGCUAGAUAUUGUCAUGUUUAUCUGCUGUAUUUAAAUGGUGAAGUCAUGCAUAAAUGUAAAAUAUAUGAGUGAAGUUGAAUUUUAUCAUGAAUUAUUAGUGAAAUAUUUAAGGCCCAAUAUAGGUGGAGAAUAUUAUGAUGCUAACUAUUUUGAGUUUACCAGGAUAAAACAUGAAGUUACUGCUCCUUAUACAACACAAUAAAAUGGUGCAGUUGAAAGGAAAAAUCAUGUGUUAACUGAAAUGGUUGAUGCAGUUUUGUCAAAUUCUGGCUAUUUUGCUUCAGCCCAAAAUAUUGAUCCGCUUUUGUCAAAUUCUGGUCUAAGCCAAUGAUUUUAGGGUGAACCAUUAUUAACAGCUUUUGAAUCCCAGAACCCCAAUUGUGAUUGGUGGUUAUCAGUUGGAAAUUUAGUCUUACAAUUUGAUUUGGCAACUUCAAGGUUGGGCUUCACCUUUACGCUUUUUGGAAUCUCAAAUCGCAUGUACCAACUUUAACUUCACAUCCACGGCCUAAACUGUUUAAAAAGAGCCAUUUGAUUUCCCUAGAUGCUUUUUCAGACGUUUUACUGUAUUUGUAUAUGGGGUAUGUGCUUUUUGGGUGUAUCGAUGAUUAUUUGCACAAGAAUAUAAUUAGCAGAACAUUUAUGUUUGCGUGAUUUGCUGAAUUUAGCAGUGUAUUUUUGUUUGGAUUAUGGCCUUAUGGUUACUGUCUUUGGAUCGACUACUAUUAGUUGCAACAUUUUCUACUAAUAGAUCUUUUACAGAGAUGCCAGCUUAGAAUAUAGAACGUUAAUCUUCUUUUGAUUCUUAAUGAUAAUCAUAUACAACCAUGCGUGCUAAUAAAUCUUGUAGUAGUUUUCUACCAAAAACUUUAAUAGUUUGAUAAGAAUUACAAAAGCCCUGCAAUUAUGUUAUCAGAGAAAAGAGUACGUGUUUCACCUAUAAAGGUUUAAUGAGUCAUGACAAGUUGUAAAACUAGUUGUAACUGUGACACCCCCAUUUCUCCCUAAGGCGAACUAGAGGGUAUCCGCGGGAUGCCUGCCCAACUCUCACCAGGACUCAAGACAAUAUCCAUUCAAGCUUAACACAAUACUAGCCGUUACCACGAAGUAAAGUAAGCAAAUGCGGAAACGUUUGAACUUAACAAUACAUCUAUCAAUGAUUCAAUCCUUACAUCGGAUUUCCAAAAGUUACCUCAAAUCCCAACAUAUACAACAUCCAAAUACAUUGAAUAUCCCAAUCAUACAUUAGGUGUCCAAAAGUACAAUCAAUAAGAGGUCUAGCCCAAAAUACAUUAGGAACCCUAAGCCAAAAGUACAUCACAAGGGGGUUUCUCCAAGUUCACUCCAUGUCCAAUCAUGUUAAGGAAAACAAAUCUACAGGGUGAGCAAAACGCUCAUGAGGCCAAGUACACACAUGCAGGCAUGUUGUUCAAGUAACAAUCCCAAUUUAACAAGUAGAGCUAUAAUAUUUCAAUAAAUAAGAAUUCGAGCGAGAAAAUUAAACAGAAACAAUUCAAGGAUAUAGGAGCUCUCAGGAGCUAUUUUCCACUUGCACGAUCAUGAACCUCCACGAGUUGACACUCCAUCAAUCGGGUAAGUUUAGUCCGUAGAACUUCACUUAUCCUGUCCCCUUUCACCUUACAUACCCCAGUAUCGGGCCCGCCUGUCAUUUGUUUGAGGCGAUACUGCUCGAGUAUGCCAAGCAAGACCUCUUAAUAGGUCAAGCUUUUGUUUUCUCAUGGUUCGCCAAGGAACCCGACCAAGCCCAUGCCGGCUCGAGUCCAAGGUUAGCCAGUGAGACUUGGGCGUCCCCCAUGUACAUUUGUGAGUCGAGGAGAUUCACUAUAGCGACGUAUGCAGCCAUAUCAUACCAUUUCAUGUAAUUCAAGCAUUUGAUACAUUCCAGCAUUUGUUAUGGUCAAGUAUUUGAAAUAAUCAAGCAUUCGAAGCAUGAGUUGUUGUUUUCGCAUGAGAACGAGUGCGAUAAAGUACACACUCGACUCCAUUUUCAAAUCCCAAAGCAUUGAUAACAGGUAAGCAUGUAACGAGUUCACAGGAGUUCAAGUAAACAUGCACUUGACACUCACCGAUACAAGUACAAGAAAGAAAUGUCACUCGGAGCUUUUAGGCGUUCACUGUGGGAUCCUCUUGAAGGUUCUCGUGCGAGCCUGGGCAAUUAAUAAGGAUCUAUCACUCAUAACCCUAAUAAAUGAAAAGAUCGCACUAGUGCACAUUCCAAGAAAAUCUCGUAAAAACGAACUCCAAUCACUCGUAAAUCGAGGUUCAAAGACGGGGUUUCAAAACACAAGAGCAAUCAAUUUUCCGUCUUUGAAAUCAAGUAUAAAACGUCCAAGUGAUAUCGAGGGAAAAAGGAGAAUUCGAAAAACUCCAUUUCCCGUAAGUUUUGGAAAUUUCAGUUUUGAUAUGAAUCUUUGAAAAAUCGUAUCUCACUCUUUACAAGUCCAAAAUUGGAAAACUUGAUACCUUUGGAAUCCUAUUUGAAAGUACUAAAAGUUCUUAGAAGACACUUUUUCUUGAUUCUAAAUGGAAAGUAUUCAAAAAUGGGCUCAAAGUCACUGUUUCAGGGUACUUAGGAUUGUGUCGGGGUUAGUUUUUCGCUAACUUUGGAAAUUCGGUAAAAUUCACACAUUGCCAACCAGCCUCUGAAAUUUGUAAAUCAAUUAGAGUUACAAGUAAGGUUUAGAACAGAACAAUCGGAUCAAGAAUCGGAGUUUUGAGCACCGAGAUACGAUAGCUCAAAGUUGGUGAAAAAUCGAAACUGUUAAGCUAAUUUUCCAGAUUUAAGUUCCAAACUUUGGGACUUUAGUUAGGUAUCGAAACAGACUCGGAACGGCACCAAAUUUGGUAUGAAUAUACUACCAUAUAAGGGACACUCCUUUACCAAAUUUCAUAUAAAAAUAUGUACGGAAAUCGGUUAACGAGACCGUUGAAAUCACAAGAAAUUCUAAGGCUAAGCUGCCUUUGAACUUCCGUUUUGCCGUUUCCAAACAUUUGGUCAAGAAACAUCUCAAACAUGGUCCAUUCUAGUAGGUAAUGUCUAGAAUAUGUCCAAGGUACAUUUGAUAGGUGAUUUACACUAAGAAGCUUCGGAUAACAAGUCCCAAAUCAUUGUUAGUUUCAAAUCUGUCCAAAUGCACGGUAUUCCUUCACAAGACCAGAUUUGAAUUUUGAUCAUAAAUCACUCAAUUUAACUCGGAAUUGAGCAUGGUUGGUGACAUUAGAAAAUUGACUCAUAAGGAUAUAUUUUCUCAGAAGAAACCAUUUUCAAAAUCUAUCCAUAACUAGCUCGUUCGUGAGCAUCAAGUUACAGCUCAUGUGCUGCCUUCCAGGAAGCAACGAAACAGGAUAGCAAAUUUCAAACGAAUGGUUUGGCUUGCUCAAGUGGAACCAGGACAUGAAUUUUAUACCAACAGAAAACGGGGAAUGUCUAGUUUUCAGUGCCACAAACGGCACUCGAUUCUGACAUUGGAGCGAUGAGUUAUAGCCAAAAUAAGAUGACUGCCUGGGCAGUGACGGGAACCAAUUCCAGAUUUCUAAGCUUCCGAAAUUCCAACAUUUGAGUGACCAAAUCAAGUUAUUUUUCAAUGAAACUUUUUACACACUCAAUAUAACAUGUAAACAACAUAAACAAGCCAUUAGAACCUCAAAAUUUUACACCAAAGUGCUCGAACAAAGCAGGGGCAAAAUGGUCACUUUUGGUCAUUGCACCAUCCUUGAGUUUCUAUCAACAACCCAACAUUAAUCCACUAGUUUAAGCACUAAAUAAAUAUUAUUACCAUCAAAACACCACAAAUCAGUCCAUAUAUCCAAGGUAGGAGUUCAUAGAGCCCACACAACCAUUUUUCCAUCAUAAACAAGCUACCCAUGUGCAUGCAUGAGCUUAAAUGUGUAAGAUAACUUCCAUAAAUCAAGUUUCCAAGGUUUGAUCAUCACUUACUUGGUUUGAUGUUCCAAAGCAGAAAUUUCGGUCCUCUCUUGUCCAAGAAAAACCGUGGAAAGUAGCUCCUUUUCUGAGCUAGAUAAACUCUCCAAGUAAUAAGCCAAGUGUGGAUGAAAUUUGAUGUGAAUUGGAUGAAGAUUGAUGAAGAUUUUGUGAAGAAAUUUGGAGAACUUUGGUGUUGUUUUGCAAGCUCAAUGGCCGGCUGUCUUAGGGGAAAAAGAAAGAGUUGCACAGCUGUUUAAGGUGAUACAGUGGAGAGUUUUGAUCUGGUGCGAUGCUCCCAUGAAAAGCCUAAGAAUGUGUGGCCCAAAAUGCUCCAAAAGUCAACUAAGAAGAGUGCGCGUAUGCGCGCAUUUCGUGCUCGUUUCCUUUCGGGUUUGUUUCACUUGUGCACUAAACCUCUAAUGUACUUCCAUUCAUACUAUUAUUAUCCAAUCUUAAAUGUCCCAAAAUAAGGGUCUAAAAUCCCUCAAUUAAAUCGCGCGUGUGAAAACGCGUGGUUCCAAUUUAAGCGCGAUAAAGUGAAAUCUCCAAGAAAUUCUUAUAACGAUAGUAUUACUAACUAUCAAUUGAGUACUUAAACAUAAAAAUACCUAAUUUGAACACCAUUAUAUAAGUAUCCCAAUUUUCAAGCUUAUUGUACCCUCAAAUCGGUUACUGUCUCCAAAUGCGCGUUCACUAUUCUCACUUAACGAGUUUUCAAAAAAUUAAAUUUUGAAACAAGUCAUAUUAAAAAUAUAAUUAAGCUAUAGACCCAUGUAAUUAGGUCCAAAGAGGUUAGAAAAUAAAAUUCGGAGUAAAUGACCAAGUAAAUAAUUAAAUAAGCUAGAAAUAGGAAUUUAAAAUGAGAAAAUUUGUGAGUCCUCACUUAAGUCGAGUAUUAAUUCCUCAAUUAACCUUUCUUAAUCUACCAUUAAUCAUUCUUAACUCUCCAAUAUUAAUACACUCCCGAUUCAAGUAUAAUCUCAAAAAACAUGUACUCGUUGUUCCGAACUAAACGAAUUUUUGAAAAGUGAAUUUUUUUCCAACACAACGCUUUAAAAGUAUAAAAGAGGCAUCGUUCCAUAUAAAUGGAUUUUAAAUGAUCGCAAUGAAUAAUUCGGAGAAAAUGAGUAAAUAAAUAUUUAAAUAAACUGGUAAUAUUCGAUAAAAUAAGAAAAUUUUCGAGUUCUCACAGUAACUGUUUCUCAGUAAAUGUAUCAUAAUAAACAAAUUCCUUUUGGUUUAUAUAGACUAAAUUCAACUCUACAUCUCGCAAAAACAUGCUUAUACAAAUACAAUCAUAUAAUUGAAUGAAUAUUAUUCUUCUUAAAUGGUGUCGACAAUCUAAUAACUGUUAGGGUUGGUCCAAUAGUCAGGAAGCAUUUCACUGUCACAUUUGGAUUCGAAUCUUGGACCUGACAGUUGGGGUUGAAAUGGGUGUGGAGAAGGGUGGGAGAUUAAAAAAAUAAAAUAAAAUUACAAAAUGUCCACAACAUAUUGCAAUAAUUUUAGACAAAGGAUCCAUAUAUAUACAAAUACAAUAAAUCAUGAAGUACAACGAAGAAAGAAAGGAGAACACUUUUAACACCGCUUGAUACACAUUUUUAUUCAGCAAUCUGCUUGUACUGAUUAAACUGAGUUGUUUCUCACACAAGAUUCAUAAAUCGAUGAGGUCCCUAGAAAGGGUUUCACUGUGCAUGCCUACUCACUGCAAGUAGGCUAGUUGGACUCAAACUUUGGGCAGUAUUUAAUAUUGAGAUGCUCAAUAUGCUGAUAAGAUUGAUGACAGAUUCUAACCAACUGAGUCAGAUAACGAAGUUCCAACUUUUUCAGUUUUGGAAUUUCAGCAGCACAAACCUCUUUCUACAUCUCACAUAGUAUGAUUUCUGUCAUAGAUGCACAAUCUUCUACCAUAAGGUCUUCAAGGCUAGGAAAAUAUUGUACCAUAGAGCAUGAAAGAACAAAUUCCAACCUCAGACAUGUAUGAACCGACAAAACUUUUAAAGCCUUGAAACUUUCAACAGUUAUCUCACCUUUCCAAAUUUUGUUCAAGUUCCACAAGUAAUGAAGACUUAGGUGAGAUAGAUUUGGUAAUGCAAUUUCAUCAAUAAUACUGCCACCAUCUACAAUGGACUCCAUGUCAGAACAUUCGCUUACAGUACAGAACUUCAGUUGUCUAAUAAUUUGAAUGCCAAACUCUGUUAAGCUUCUGAUCCUAGAAUGGUGAUCAAGAUAGAAGGCUGUGGCCAACUUGAGGACUUCCUUUGUGACGACCCCACCUCCCCCUAAGGCGAACCAGAGGGUUCGGCGGGCCGCCUGCCCAACUCUCGCCGGGACUCAGUCGUUCACUAAAGUCCUCAAAUAAACUACAAGAUAAAUCUCAAAUAUACAUCACAUGGUCCACAAAUAUACAUCCAAGUCUCCAAUAAUUACAUGUCACAAAUGCAGCGGAAAACAAUUCCCACCUAUACAUCAAAUGAUUCCAAAUCCAAAUUGUACAAAAUAUAGGCCAUCCAUACACGUGAAUAAGCACAACAAGUCCUGCCUUCGCCUUGAGCCCUGUGGAGGGGAAUAAAAUAUUUUUGGGGUGACCUAUAAGCUCAGCGAGUAACCAGGAAAAUCAUUAAACAAAUAUAUUUCACAAUGUUGCAUUUCGAUGAUUUCGAUGAUGUCAUGAUUCCAAGAUCAAAUGUCCGUUUAGUGCUCUCGUGAGCCGGUGAAAUCACAGCACUUGAACACCCAACGCUCAAAUAUUUCAUUUAACAUUAACUCACGAACUCACGAAAGUGGGAGCAACAUCGGUGCUCCAGAUAACCAUGAACAUGAACCAUAAACAAGGUGGAGACGUUGGUGUCCAGCACAAGACUUUCCCAGAACUCAUUGAAGCCAAAUCAUGUCAUGAAUUCACAUGCAAGCACGCAUGAUAUGCAAUCGAAUAAUUAAUGCAAGAAACAUUUCACAAGUACUUUGGAAAUAGUUUAGGGUCACUCACCUCCAUGGCUCAGAAAUCAUCCAUCAAAUAUCAUUGCCUUGCUCAAAUCCAAGUCUUAAAUCACAAACUCAAUGCAAACAAAUUCCUUCAAAGUUCGGACAGCACUUCCCCUGAAUUUGCUAACUUUUCCAGCCAUCAUGGCUUCAUUAUUUUUCUCAUUCCAACCCAAAGGUACACACACAACAACAAGUUCAUCCAAUAGCCAUUCAACAAACUCCAAGUAGUACAAAGACAAGUCAAGCUAGGGAAAAGUCCGGAAAUGAAAGUUAAGCUCAAAACCAGAAAAACAGUUUUGACGUCAUUUUGCGGUAAUGGUGCCAAAGGCACUACGAUGGUCGGAUGAAGGUACAAGACCCACCGUUUGGAAGCUAAGAGAUAAGGCUACAAUAUUGUAGAAGGUCACUCAACCCAGUUUCGAGUGUAACCAGGUCAAAAAUGCAAGAUACUACACCAGAAUAGGAAAAACAGGUUCACGAAUCGCAUUCUGGUACAAACAUCAUAAAUCAGGCUACCGAAGUCCAAAUCCAGAAAUUCCAAAACCAACUGAAAGAUAAGAAACAGGGCUAAAUUCCAUCAGAAGGCCUCAACAACCAAUUCGGAAGCAAUUCCAGCCAAAACAACCAAUUACAAUCGCAAAUCCCAAUUUCGGGUAAACCAGAACAGCAAUAGUAAUUUCGACUUUUCUCACUCUACGCUACUCCGAUUGACCUGAAAUUUUGUAGGAACCUUUAAAAUGUCAUUCCCUACAACUUUCAUGUUUUGAGAUAAGGCCAAUUCUGCCUCUAUCUAGGACCAAAAAUUUCGGACAGAAUGAAGAACCAAGAACCCUAAUUUUCCAGAUUUCUUUCAAAACAGAAUUUACUUGCAAUCUUCCACUUUUUCCACCUUCUAGAAUCAUUAAACAUCAUUUCCAAUCAUCAUACAUAACCACAUAAUCAUACUCAUAUUAAAACAGAAAAAUCCCCAAAAAUAAUAAAAGUUCAUCCAUCCAACCACAACUCAAAAUAUAAUCCAUCAAACCAUCUCUUUAGCAAUCACAAGUCACUAAUUUAGCAUAAUCAAGAACAAAGAAAGGAUUGCUAGACAUGAUACCUUCAAAUAUCAAGAAAGGUGAUGACUUAGGGAUUUUUCUUCCAAAACAACUCCACCAAGAGCUUCAAUCUUCCUUAGCUAGCAAGUUUUAUGGAGUGAUUUGCAAUUUAAUCGGUUGGAACUCAAAAUUUGGACAAGAAAUUGAAGUGCAAGAUGAUGAAUUUUCUCUCUCUUUUUCUCUCAAAAUUUCGUCCAAGACAAGCUAAAAUGGAGAGAAAUUGGGUCCAAAUUGGUUUUAGUAAAGUUAGAAAAGUCUUGGUCAAAAGUCAAGGUCCAAUGGUUUUGUGACAAAUGGUCCUUUAGGGUUUUAAUCUUAUCUUUUUGUCUCUCCAAUACAAAUAUCUUAACACAUUGUAAAAUAAUAUCACUUAAUACAAAAUUCCAACAAGUUGUCAAAAAUAUAAUGCAUUUACCGCACUUGCGGGUUCCACGUCCAAAAUACGCUUUUAAUUUCUCAAAAACUAACCGAUACUAGAAAAAUCAUUUUAAAACUAUUUUUGCUCAUAAACUUUAUCUGGGGAAUUUUUCUAAUCAAGAAAAUGUAGAAAAGGCGGGCGUUUAAAAAAAUAAACCCUAGAAAAUUAGAAAAUUUCCGGGUUCUCAAACUCAUUUUUUUUUCGGGGCGUCACAUCCUUAACUUCAUUAGGUAUGUGAUCAAUAUCAGUAUUGACAUAUCUCAAGCACUUGUGUUCCUGAUCAUAAUCCUGCUCUGUACGUCUUGGGACACGAGAUGUCGACCUUUUGAUAUCAUGGCCAAUGACAAAUUUGAACUUCCUCAAAUUAUCAGCUUUCCAAGCAGGACUGGAUCCAAGGAAAGUCUUUAGAAACUUUAUUUCGGGGAAACAAAUACAAAGAGUAUCCAAAUUGCUCAGAUUGCUCAAUUCCUCUGCAACAAAUUCUGCAUCUGUAUUCCACUGAGUAUCCCUGGGUUGCACUUCAAUGCUCAAUUCUUCCAGUGACUGAAGGUUAGCAAAUAUACCACCAGGAACCAAAUUUUUUGUGCUUAUUAUGAUACUUUUUGUGAUCCACAUAUGCAUAAAAAGAUACAUGAAGAUGCUUGAGAGAUGAUAAUUUGCCAAUGGUAUCAGGUAGGCUAUAAAUCUCAGUACCUGUCAGAUCAAGAAUCUCUAUGGGCUUUACCUCCCCAACUCUGGGAGAAAUCUCAGAUAAGCAUGGGCAAUGGCAAAGAAUUAGCGCUUGGAGUCCACUUAAGUUGUAAAGUAAUGAUGGUAAGGAUCUUAUAUUUGUCCUGGAUAGAUUCACAACUUGUAGACAAGGCAUGCUGUUGAAAAAUGAUUCAGGUAUAGUUGUAACUUGUAAGACGUCCGUUUCUUUGAAGAAACAACAUCUUUAACUUGCGGCAAUUUGGUUCCUUGGGUAGCUUUGAAAUGCCAUUAUCCAUGAGAAAUAUCAUCUCAGUUUCUUCCCAUUCAUUUUGUGUUGGUGGUAAUGGUAAACCUGCCCCAGCUCUUGACAAGAGGCGAUCUUCUACCCUGGGCAACUUUUGGGGGCUGCAUGUAAUUAAUCUUGUCCUUGGUCCCAACAUCAGCUCUUGGUUUCCAACUUUGUUGAAUUUCCUUCCCACCAAGAAAUCCAAGGAUCCAUCUUCUGAUAGGAUGAUCCAAGAUGCCAAAUCCCUUAUCAAGUUAUGCAUUUUAAUUGAAAUACCAUCAACACGUUCCACUAGAGAGGCUUCAGUAAGAUGCCAAACAAUUCUGAACCCUUUCCUUGAUGCAUCUACUGGAUUCCCCGUGACAAGGCCUUCCUGGAUCCAAUAAUUGAUAAGCUCAGUUAUUUGAAUGUUGUGAUCCUCUGGAAACAAAACACAAUAUAGGAAGCAAUGCUUCAAAUCAUAGUCAUGCAAUUUGUCAUAACCAACUGUUAGCUUUUGGAGUAGAACUUCAUCAUGACUUUCGGUGUCACCAGAUUUUAGUUCGGUAACUGAUGAAAGAUUACUCAGCACAAGCCUCCAGCCCAAGACAUCAUUUUCCUUAGCCAAGGCUCUUCCAAUCACAAUUAUCAUCAAUAGCAAACCAUCACAUUCUGAAACUAUUACUACCACACGAGGCCUUAUAUUGGGGGAAUCAAUGAGGCCUCCUACCUGCUCUUGGAAUAGAUUCCAUGCUUCUUUCCAAGGAAGGGCACUUACUUCUAUCUGUUGAUCCAAGGCCAUUAUUUUGCAAAUAUGAACAGAUCUUGUUGCCACCACUAACCUAGAAUGGCUCUCCAAAUUAACACCUAGUGCCUCCAAAUUAAUAUUGUCCCAUACGUCAUCAAGUAUCAACAAAUACUUCUUGCUUUGCAGUGCAUGAAAUAACUUGCUCGUAAGUUCAUCUCCAGAUUUAGGGCCUUCCACAGUGAGCUCUAGCUGCCUUGCAAUCUCAAGCUGAAUCUUUUCCCUGCUCCAAUUUCUUGAGAUGGUCACCUGAAUAAGAAAAUUGAAUUUAUUUUUAAUUUCGGGAGCGCAAAACAAAGCUUUAAGUACGGUUGUCUGGCCUAUUCCAUCUUUUCCGUGGAUGCCAAUUCUUCUGUAUUUAUCAUCUUGCAUGCACUCAAUUAUCUUUCGUACCAUGUAGCUAAUUCUCAGUUCUUCUUCACCCUGAGGCAAACUUAUAUAAUCUUCUCUUGAUGAAUCCAAUUGUGAAGCUUUCGGAACAGUUCCACUUCGUGAAGAAGACCUGGCAAACAGACAUAUUUUUAGGUUCAUAAGUGGUUGUUGGGAAAGGGGGUAUCAGUGCAGGCACACAAUAUCAGAGUUAGCCCAGAACAAAUUUUUCUUUCCCCAAAUACCAGUUAAAACAGGAAUAAACCAAAUCACCAAAUAAUAAUACCAGCAGUGAUAAUAAAAUGCAAGAAAAAUAAAAGGCACAGGACACCAAGAUUUUUACGUGAAAAAUCCAAAUUGAAAAAAAUCACGGGACCUAGUCUAGGCAAAAAUCUCCACUAUCACAACAAUGGAAAUACACAGGUCUAUUCGAAAUAUUCGAAUGACAACAAUAUCACCAAUACCAACCAAGCCAAUCUGCUACAAAAUCACCCCCAAAAAUUACAAUUGUCAAAGAGAUGAGUUUGGAAAGAUGAUACAAAACGAAGAGGAAAUCUAAAAUCUGAAUCAGUAGAUAAGUAGAGUUUGACAAGAGUAUUGCGUGUGUAAAAUUUCGUCUCGAUCGGAUUUCAAAUCACCUUCCAACUGAGGCUUCAAAGUUGCAAAGAAUUUUCUCUCUUUGGCUCUCACUCUUUCUCUCUCUUCGUUUCCCUCCUCACUUGUGCGGCUGAAAUUCUUCACACCUAAAAGUGAAAGUACUUUUUUGCGGCUACCUCAAACGUUCCAUCACAUGAAACCCUCUAGUCUUAGUGACUUGUAUUUUGGGUUGGCCCACACAAGUCCAACAAUCUCCCUUUCCAACUCAUUUGGGGGGUAUAGUCAAAUCUGCUCCCUGUCUACAAAACAAGAGUUUUUUCUUUAGGUAAUGCCUUGGUCAACAUGUCAGCACCAUUAUCAUCUGUAUGCACCUUCUCAAGUGUCAAUAACUUGGAAUCCAAUACUUUCCAAAUCCAAUGAUAUCUCACAUUAAUGUGUUUGGACCGAGAGUGAAAACUGGAGUUCUUACACAAAUGAAUAGCACUCUAACUGUCACAAUAAAGGUUGUACUUCUCUUGCUUCAUACCCAACUCUUGAAGAAAUUUCUGCAACCAAAAAGUCUCCUUGCAUGCUUCCGUGAUUGCAAUAUACUCUGCCUUCGUACUAGAAAGGGCGAUACACUUCUGUAACUUACUUUGCCAUGACACUGCUCCCCCUACAAAGAUCAUCAAGUACCCAGAUGUGGACUUCCCAUUGUCAAGAUCACCUGCCAUAUCUGCAUCAGUGUACCCAUCUAGCAUAGUUUUACCAUUACCGAAACAUAGACACAAUCUAGAAGUUCCCUUGCUAUACCUGAGAAUCCAUUUGACAGCAUUCCAAUGCUCCUUACCAGGAUUAGAGAGAUACCGACUGACUACUCCAACAACAUCAGCAAUAUCUGGUCUGGUGCAAACCAUGGCAUACAUCAAACUACUGACAGCCGAGGCAUAAGGAACCUUUUUCAUAUCUUCUUUAUCUUUCUCACUUGUAGGACACUGCUUGAUGUUCAGUUUAAAGUGACCCGUAAGUGGAAUUGAGACUUCCUUAGCCUUAUUCAUGUUAAACCUGUUGAGUACUUUCUCAAUGUAUUUUUUUGAGACAACAAAAGCUUCUCAUUUUGCCUAUCUCGUAAGAUUUUCAAUCCCAAUAUUUGUCUAGUCGGAUCCAAAUCUUUCAUUGCAAAGGAUUUACUUAACUCCCCUUUUAGCCUAUCAAUCUUCACAGUAUCACGACCAACAAUCAACAUGUCAUAAACAUAUAGCAGGAGAAUAAUAAAAUCACCAUCUGAAAAAAUUUUCACAUAAACACAGUGAUCAGAUGUAGUCCUGUGGUACUCAUGGUCUGUCAUGAAGGAGUCAAACUUCUUAUACCAUUGUCUCGGUGCUUAUUUCAACCCAUACAAACUCUUCUUGAGACGACAUACAAGAUUUUCAUUGCCAUUUUCUUUGAACCCCUCCGCUUGCUCCAUAUAGAUCUCCUCUUCCAAGUCGCCAUGCAAGAAGGCUGUCUUCACAUCAAGUUGUUCGAUCUCCAAAUUCAAACUGGUUGCAAUACCAAGAACAACUCGAAUUGAUGACAUUUUCACCACAACAGAGAAAAUUUCUUCAAAAUCUACACCCUUCUUUUGACUAAAUUCUUUCACAAUCAAUCUUGCUUUAUACUUUGGUUGUGAGUUGUGCUCCUGACUCUUCAACCUGUAGACCCAUUUGUUCUUUAGAUCUCUCUUUCCCUUAGGCAAUUUCACUAAAUCAUAAGUAUGAUUCUCAUGCAGAGACACCAUCUCCUCUUUCAUGGCUCGCAACCAAUCUUCUUUAUUCUCAUACUCUAGAGCCUCACAGUAGGACUUUGGCUCUCCUCCAUCUGUUAACAACACAUAUUCAUGAGAAUUAUAUCUGCUAAAAGGUCUCCUUUCUCUGGUAGAUCUCCUAAGCUCAUCUUGUGGUGGCGGUGGUGGAAUAGGUGGCGCCUUAUGCUCAGGUUCAUCAGCAGUAAAAUUAUCACCAUCAUUAACAUCCUCUCUCUGCUCUGUCUCAGCUCCCCUUUGAUUAUAAUCAACAUGUAUUGAAAUUGAAUCUGGAUCUGAAUUUGAGCUAGCAGGAAUGCCAUCUGAAGAUUUUGAGUUAUCACCUUUAUCAAUGUCUUCAAUGGUUUGAUCUUCAAAAAAGACAAGAUUUCUGCUCCUGGUCACUUUUUUUUCAAUAGGAUCAUACAAUCUAUAACCAAAAUCUUCAUGUUCAUAACCCAAGAAAAUACAUUGUUUUGAUUUUACAUUAAGUUUUGACCUCUCAUUUUUGAGAAUAUGAACAAACGCCCGACAACCAAAAAUUCUUAAAUGUUUAAAGGACACAUCUUUUUCCAUCCAUACCCUCUCUGAGAUAUCACCAUCUAGAGGAACUGAUGGAUAAAGAUUUAUCAAAUCAACUGCAGUCCUCAUUGCCUCACCCCAAAAGGAUUUUGGCAGUUUAGAAUUAGAGAGCAUACAUCUGACCCGCUUAGUGAUGGAUCUGUUCAUCCUCUCUGCUACUCCAUUUUCUUGAGGAGUUUUUGGCACAGUCUUUUUCAAUCUAAUCCCACGAGACUUGCAAUAAAUUUCAAAUGGUCCUCUGUACUCACCACCAUUAUCAGCACGAAUACACUUUAACUGCUUGCCAGUUUCUCUUUCAACUUUGCUAUGAAAAUCUUUAAAUACAUCCAAAAUCUGAUCUUUGGAUUUCAAAGCAAAACACCAAACCUUUCUAGCAAAGUCAUCAAUAAAAGUUACAAAAUAAAAGCACCACCAAGGGACUUAUCUUUCAUAUAGCAAACAUCAGUGUGCACCAAUUCUAACGGAUUUAAUUUUCUAGAUGGACGAAAAUUUUGAAAUGCAACUCUGUGUUGUUUCUCAUAAAUGCAGUCAACACAAAGUUUAAGUACAUUACCUCUAAAUUCAGGUAGGAACUGUUUGUGAACAAGUGUCUGAAUCCCUUUUUCACUCAUGUGCCCAAGUUGUCUAUGCCAAAGGUCAAUUGAUAAAUCACGAACUGCAUUCACUUCUCCCUUCCCCAACUUGGCUUGCAUCAAGUAGAGGGUACUCUGC
Molecule: long non-coding RNA, 46060 nt
Filed under: Coffea arabica (coffee)
Lineage: Eukaryota; Viridiplantae; Streptophyta; Magnoliopsida; Gentianales; Rubiaceae
Description: long non-coding RNA (CARA_LNC006592)
Source: RNAcentral